AAAAAAAAAAAAAAAAAAAAAAAAGGUUGUUAUUCUUGGUUUGUUCUAUGAGUUUUCAUCACCUGUUGAUUCUUGAUGGAACAUUCUCAGAGGACAUAAUCACAACAGGAAUGUCUUUAAGUGAGUCAGAUUCCUACAAAAUCAGAUGGAAUUUUCUUUUUCAGAUUUUGUGUUUGGAAGGAGAUGGAGAAAGAAUAAAACAUUGCUUGGAAAGUGAAAACCCAACUAAUUAUUAAAAAAACAAAGCAUAUAUAUGUGUGUCUUGACUUGAAGAAGAAGAAGAAGAAGAAGAAGAAGAAGAAACUUGCCUUGAUCUUUCUGAGAAGAUCAAAGCCUGUCAUCUCUGGCAUACAAUAAUCUGUAAUGAUGAGAUUAACUUCAAUCUCCUGCAAUGCAAUAUCAAAAGCUAAAUUAAUCAAACAAUGCCUAAAAAAAACAAACAAACAUCCAAAUUAAGCUUGAAUAUAUAUAUGGUACUUGAUGAUGUUGACGAUGAUCUUCAGGGGAAAUAGGAGAACUGUGGUUGGUUCCAUUUCUUUCUCUAACCAAACCCAGAAGCUCUAAAGCUUUGCUUCCAGAAUCCACAACAGUAACUGUGAAAAAAAAAAAAAAAAAACAAAUCAAGCUUGUUAAAUCAAUCAUCUCUCAGCACAACCAAUGACUAAUUUCUAAGUGCGCUUGAAUUGAAAGAGAAAAAAAAACCCACUAAGGCUUUGGAAAGUCAUUCCAAUAUAGCUCUGAUUAUUAACAGUAUAAUCGAGGAGAAAAUUAUAAUUACAUUGCAGUAGUUCAUCCAAUAUCAUGUUAAACUUAGCCAAAAGAUUGGACAACAAUCAGCACAAGAUCCAGUAAUGGACUAACAAUAAUUUGGGAAAUUAAACCGCAGAGAAUUAUAGAGUAUAUAAAACUACGGAUGAACCCAAAUUAAAAGAUAAAAAGAAAAAAUGGAACAUAUAUAAAAAUCAGUCAAAGUUGUAGUGAAGAGCAGAAGAAGUAAGAAAAAGAGAGAGUUACCAUUGAAGGAGGAAGUUUUGAGGAGCCUUUCAAUGAGCUUCCUGUCAACAAGGCUGUCAUCAACAGCCAAAACAUGAAAGCGAGGCUGAUCAGAAGAGAGAAGGGACAUUAUAUUAAUAUAUAUCAAAGAAAGAAGAGGAAGGAAGAAGAAGAAGAAGAGGAAAGGGAAAUUUGGUGGGAAGGAGAAGAAGGAGAGAGGAUUUAUAAAUGAAAUGGGGAAGAAAGAAGAAGAGAUUGCGUGAGAAGAAGAUAUUAUUAUUAGAAUGAGGAAUUUGAGAUAUGGAGAAAUCCUUACAAAAUUUUGACAGUUUGGAAAGGAAGAUCCCACAGAUUUUGUUACAUAAUCUCUCUUUCUCUCCCCCCCCAACUCAAUCCAACCCAUAUAUUUUUCUUCUUUCAAUUCAUCAACAAAAUAGUAAAAUAAUUUCUUUUGGACUUUUUUCCAUUUGUGAUCAAUUAUUUUAUUCUUUGACUAUUUUAUAUGUUUUUUUAUUUCCUCUCAAAACUAAACUAUAUUAAUUAGUUGAGUUCAUUCAGAAAGUCUAUAUUUUGACAUGCAUAGUUGGAAUAACGAUCAACUUUGUCAAAUCCAAAUUUGAUUUGGAAUUGAAAAUCUUGAUGAUAAUACAAUGCAAUUGAAAUUCAAAAAUAAAAAAAUUGAUUAUGUCCAAAUCAAAUCAAGAGAAAUAGACUUUCUGUUUUAGUAUAGAAGGAAUAAUAAUAAUAAUAAAUACAUGUCAUUUCAUUUCAUUUCUUAUAUAUUUUACCCAAUCAUGAACUAUUAAUUACUUUAAUUUGAUGACACUAAUCCCUUCUGUUCCUUUUAAACUUUUAGGGUAAUUAAUCAUUAACUUGGGAUUUACAUUGAAAUCUAUCAUUAUUAUGGUUCAAUCAUAUAUCUUAUUUUCUACCAUAUUUAUAUUUAAUAUUUGGUGAUGGGUAGAACUUUGUGAUCCCUUUAAUCGAUCUUUAAGCACAUGCACUCGCCAUCCACAUUCUGAGCUCCAAUUUCAUUUGGAUUUUAUUUUCCCAAAUUAUUGAGAUUCUUCUGAUCAAUUUUAGAUUUUUAACAAUUCCUUUUUUCCAUUUUUCCAAAUUAGUUUUGCAUCCACAUAAAAACAAAUUUUAAUUCCUUUAACCAUAUCUCCAAAAAUAAUAUACGAAAUAAAAUCUCUGCCACCUCACGUUUAUUCAUCCACAUUUAUCUCUUUUCUUUAAAUAUAAAAUUAUAAAAUAAAAUUCAUGGAUUUCUUUUUCCACUUUAUAGUUUUACUUCAUAUAUAAUUAAAAUGAUUCAGAUGAACUUUGUAAUUUUUCUUUUAUAUAUAUAAUGUGGGCUAAAAUGUUCAUACUCAACUGGGGUGGUGAAUAAACUUUGAGACUCUCCAUCUAAAAAUGAAAGUCACCAUUUCAUUUAGUUUCACUAUAAAAAAAUGAUGAAGUGGAUAUCAAUUUUAUUAUUCUGCCUUCCUUCCAGUACCCUCUCUUUAAUUUGUACAAUUGAUUCCCCACACCUUAUCUUUUGUACCAUUAUUUACCUUUUUUCUAUCUCAAAGAACAUGUGUUUGAUUAUAAUAAUUUCCUCUUUCUUUCCCAAUAUCUUUUCUAUCUCUCCUUUUACAUCCAACACCCUUACAUUUCUAUUUUUAGAAAUCCACAUGUGAUGAAAUAUUGUGAUACAUAUAUUCUCAUUACCAUUGUUUUCAAAUAUAUCUAUUCCCUAAACUUUAUUGUAUCUAAUAAUUACAUCAUCUACUAACAAUAAUUGUAUCAAUUUGUUGAACUAUGAACUUUUUCAUAUAAGAGUGUUCGUUUACACCCGUCAACAUUGUAUCACACUUACAAUCAAAUCAAUUUAAACUUUUAAGCCUUUAUAUUUGAAUUAAUUUAGACUCCCAGUUAUGGUUAGGAUUUCCUAUGAAAAAUUUCUAAUCACCCAUUUUAUAAAGAAAAAUAUUUAGUACAUUUUUUACCAAAUUGUUCAUUCAAAACUUGUCAGGUAGAUGAUCCAAAGUUCAACCCAUUUCAAGUCUAUGAUGAAAAUUUAGGCAGAAGAAAAUAUGAGACCCAAGUCUAAUUUAAGCCCAAGCCCAAAAAUAUCAAUCAAAAGAGAUGAGAUCAUUUUUUUUCCACAUAAAGUUAAUAAUUCAUUGUUUUUAUUUUGAUUAAAUUACAAAUUCAGUCUCAAACUUUCAUGUCUGUGUUAAAUUGGAUAAUAACAUAGAAUAUAUUCAACAUUUUUCUUUUAUGAAAAAAUAAAUUUAUUCAAAACAACGAAAUUAAAAGUUCAAUAUUUUAUUACCGCAAAAGUUAACUAUAUAACUAUAUGUUUAAUAGAGACUAGAUUUCUAACCUAAUUAACAUUUUCUUUAUAUAUUAUCAUACUUUAUUUUUAAUAAUAAUAAUUUUAAAAAAAGGUUGUAAAUUAAUUAGUUAAUGGAUUUUGAUGACUACUAUUUUGUUUGCUUUAUCUUAUAAAUAUUUUUAAAAUUAAAUUAUGGAAGCAUUUACAUUUUAAGAAAACAUUCAUUUUUCUUUUAAACAAAGUAUAUUGUUGGAGGGCAAUGAAAUAAUAACACCCAAUUAUUCGUUGUUACUUCAAUUAAAUCUUAUAAUUAAUUUGGAAAAUAAGUCAACUAAGACUGCUAGAAGAUAAUUUAAAGCAUUUGAUGAGAGGAAUUGAAAUCAUAAUAGGUUUUUUUCUUCUUCUUCUUCUUAAUAAUAAUAAUAACAAUAAACAAGGGUUUCAUAUAUAUGCACAUGUAUUAUGUGGUUGAAUCUAAAAGAUCUUGGGAUAUAUAUGGUUUUAAUACCUAAGCCAUUCAAUCAAGAUAAGAUGAAUUAGCUUUUAUUCUUCCACUCAUGUCUUCCAUUGCUUUAAUAGAUAUGCAAUUCCUUCCAACUUAGGGGCUCUUCAGUAAAUUAAAUUACAUUUAAUAAUUAUGUCUCUCGUUUGGCUGCAACCAUUUAUAAUUUUAACAACUAAACUACAGCGUUGAAAAUUACGGUGUAAUCAAAACACUAUAAUUAAGUCAUUUUUUUAAUGGUGGAUUAUUAAAAGUCUAUUUUCCUAGCGGCCAAACUUUACCUCUAUAUUCUUUUAAGAAGGUACAGAAACGUCUAUUCUUAAGCCAUUGCAUUGCAAAUUGAUUUGACUGUGUUAAAAUGGAUGGAUAAAGGAGAAAAUUUUAAUUCUCCAUUUUUAUUUUUGUUAGGAAGGAAAUUUAUAUUAAAAAACGCCACACACAUGAAAAAAUUAGGAGAGUCACCCAUUGCAAUAAUUAAGAUCACAACUAUUGUCCACUCAAGAAACAAGGUCAGCCACAUAUCAAUAUUCAAACAACACACGGCCUACUUUGCUUAAGAACCACUUUUAUCAGCUCUACAACGUUAUAAAUGGAAGAGAGACAAAAAUUAAGAGAAAAGAAAAGGAAAAAAAUUGGACCCAUGUAGCGCUUUGCCAAUUGUCUAAUCUCUUCACCCUUUCACUUAUAUUAUAUAUGUGUGUGUGUGUGUGUGUGUGAGAGAGAGAGAGAGAGAGAGAGAGAGGUAGAUAUAAUAAAGCAAAUGUAUCAAAUAUAUAAAAAUGGUGUUUGUCUAAGAUUCAUACACAAAUAUGCAACCUAUAAUAUGGAUGCUAAUUAAUUUUUCGAUUAACCAGAAUUAUAUAAUGAUCACAUCCCAAUAAUUAGAGGAAGAAAAAACAUUCCAAUGACACAAACCAAUUAGGGACAUCUAAAUGAACUCAAACUCUACCAAUUAACUAGUAAGGAAAACAGAGAUUAUAAUUUAAUUAAAUAUAUUCUCUCUCUAAUAAUCAUAUCCUACAAUAUUAAUUAUUCUUCAAAUCAUAUCAUCCCCAUAGCAGCCAUUAAUAUUAUUACUGUUCUUCACAUCAUCAUCAUCACCACUAAUUGAUCGUCUAUUCCCUCCAGCUCUUUUGUACACAAACCCAUUGGCAAUCCAAACAUACCCACACAAAUUCAACGCGCUCAAUGCAGCCAAUACCCAGUAAAAGUAAUGUAGAUUUGAACGGUUCAGAUUGUCUUCCAGCCAUCUCCCCCCGCUCCCAGCCUGGACAACCGAGAUGAUCGCGCUGCUCAGGAAGUUUCCAACCCCGAUGAUGCUUAUGUAUGCCGCUGCACCUAAGCUCCUCAUGAAUUCGGGCAUUUGGUCGUAGAAAAGUUCUUGGAGACCGAUUAUGGCGAAGGCAUCCGACACACCGCACAGCAUGUACUGUGGGAUUAGCCACCAGAUCGUCAUUGGAACCGUUGCUUUUGGGGUGUCGCUGAGGCCAUGCUCGGCUGCAAUGGUUACCCUUUUGGCCUCUACCAAGGCGGACACGCCCAUGGUGAAGAUGGAGAUGAAUAGGCCCAUUCCUAUUCUUUGUAGCACUGUUAUGCCUGUGUGAGUAAGGUAAUAAAAAAAUCGAGUCUAAGUUUUGAAUCAAAAUACAUUUAUAAUUAAUGCGUCAAUUAACAAAACAUAACUUCAAAGGAUAGAUAUACUCAUUUCUUUUCAUUAUAUAUUAAUUGCACAAAUAUGUAUUUUAGCAGGUCAUAUUAGUUUUAGAAAUGACAAAAGAUAUAUGAAGUCAAAAGGUGAAUGUUAAAUUUAUAAAUUUAACGGCAAAGCAAAAAGAAUGAUAUAAAAUUAGAACUGUCCAUAAUCGAAUAAUUUAUAGAAGCAGUGUAACUUGUUUAAAAUUAUGAAUUUAGCAUAUAGUUUUAAUUUAUAGGAUUAGGUAGGCCUAUAAUUUAAAAAUCUAAAUUUGAUUCAUAUAGCUUGGACCCUAGUUGUAACUAGUUGGUCACUACCUACAUAAAUUUAGUCAUACCUCACAUGCGUUUUUUUUCCCAUUUUCAUGAUAGUGAACUCAUCCUUUCUAUUUGACUCACUAUAUAUACCAGUUUAUUUCUCUCCUCAUUGAGCAUUUACUAUGCUUGUUAAUAAUUGAUAUUAUAUCAAAUUUUAGGGAAGCGUUGAUUUUUUUUUUUAAAAAAAAAAUUGUAUUCUUAAUUAAAGCUAAGAUGUCAAAAGUAUUUGUAAAAUUUAACCAAAUCAUAGAAACCAAAACCAUACAAUCAAUCCAAAUUUGCAAUAUAUAUUCAAACACUGAAGAUUAAUUUUAUAUAUGAAAAAAAAAAAAAGUAGUUACCGGAGUGGUGGCCUGUAAAGUUUCUGGCGGCGGGGACAAAAACGCGGUCGUAGAAGAGGACGGUAAGAAGGAUGGUGAGGCCGACGACACCUUGAAGAGAUGCCGGCGGGAGCUGAAAGUGGGGGCCGACAGAGCGGAGCAUGGUCGAGCCUUGCUUCGUGAAGAAGGUAUGGAUCUGAGCUUGCACCACUGCAAACAUUAAGCAACUGACCCACACCGGAAUCAGCCGCACCACCAACUUUACCUCCUCCACCUCCUCCACCGUGCUCAGCCGCCAGGGGUCUCGCUUCUUCCUGGCCUCGUCCUCUUUGUCUAUCAACGUCGCCUUAUCCAAAAUCCUGCUAGAAAUGAAUAAUAAUCAUUAAAAAUGCAAAGAUUAAAAAACAUAACAAAAAAAAUGUAUUAACUAUCCCUAAACUACGCUAUGUUAGCGGGUACAUCAAGCUUUGAACAUAGACAAAUCUACUCAUCAAGUAAAUUAUUACAAAAUAUGUCCCACACGUCAAGUUCUUCAUUGAUUAACCUUUAGAAACUAAAAGAACUUUAAAUAUGAAAGUCUGUAAACUGAAAAUUGAUCAAUGUAUUAAAAGAGAGAGAGAGAGAAAGGGUUGACCCUUGAAGUAAAAUUGAGAGAGAAGGAUACCUGAAUUGGUUUGUGCGAGCCAAAGUCAUAAGAUUGUGUUCACCUUCCGCAUCAUUUUUGGCGCGGUUGUCUUCCUCGUAACAUAUUCUCCAUCCAUUGCGCGUCUCAUCCACGCGCCACUUCCUCGCUGCCGCCACCACCACCUGAGCGAUUCUCGUCAACGGACUUCCAACCGGAACUUGGCGUCUGUACUUCUUCACUCCGGCCAAAAAUAGAAUUAUCGCCGCCGCCAAUACUCCGGCUAGAAUUCCAAAACUUAGUCCCCAUCCGAUAUUAUCCUAUGUAAUUUAGAAGGAAAAAAACUGAGUUUAUUAUAUAUUUGUUAAAUUGGAGUUGAUUUAUAUUUUAAUUAUAAUAGAAGAUAAGAGAAACUAAUAUAAUAUUAUUUGUAUAUAAAUGUAUGCAACUUUUUGAUAAUCACCUAAUAAAAUAUAUUUUUUUAAAUCUCACUCUUUUAAAAAACAUUCAUAAAUAUAUAGUACAAUGUCCUAAAAAAAUAUUUUCAUCGUUUUUUUUCUUUUUCUUAGGGUUAGAAAUACUUAAGUUCCAUUUUAAUUAUUGGUGAAGUACCAUUUUUAAAAAAUAAAAAAAUCAAUUCAAAUAGGCUCUCCAAAUUAUUUUAUUUCUCUUAUAGAAAAUAAAAAUGAUGUGAAUAGGAGAUUUCUUUCUACUACAAAUUCAACUUUAGUCAUACCCCACUAGACUUGUUAAGGAAGAAUUAUAUGUGGGUAGCUAAGUAAUUCAAUACAUAUUAUUAUUAGAAAAAAAUGGAAACAUAAUCUCUGAAUUAAUUUAUGUCACAUCACCUUCACACUAAAGGAACUAAAUAAAAUUAUUAAAAGACUUAAUUUUUUUAGAAAAAUAAAAUAAAAAACCAAAAGGACACAAACAUUAUUAAUUUGAGUUAUUUAUUUUGAAAAUAUAUAAAAUUGAAAGAUACCUUUAAAAAUUGAUUAUUGAAUGUUGCAUCCUAUAUUUAAUUGUAAGAAAUAUAUGUAGAUAUAGUGUAGUGAUGUAUGGUUUUGUAAUGAAAAACGACCAGCUUUUCUUUGACAUUGAUUUGUGAUAAGAAAGAGGUUUGAAUUUCAGUUAGAUUAUUAAAUUAAACAAAUAAAAUAAAAGAAAGACAAAAAUAAUAAAAACAAAUUUCAAAAAACAAAAAACAAAAAACAAAAAACAAAAAUCGAUACCUGAACGUAAAUAACCACAAAGACAGCGAAAGUGGAGCCCCCCACAAGGCCCACAUACCACCAAUUAAAGAACGAACUUUUCUUCUUCCUCUCCUCCGGCGACUCCUCAUCAAACUGAUCGGCCGCGAACGUCUGCACACAUGGCCGGUGACCCCCUUGUCCCACCGAUAAAAUGUACAGUCCCAAGAAAAAAACUGCCUUCCGCUGAUUGUCUCCCACCACAGUCGCCGAUACCGUCAACACCAUCAUUCCAAUAAAGAAUAUGAGGGAGGCUAUGAUUAUGGUUUUGAACCGGCCGAGUAGCGAGUCAGCAACGAAGGCGCCAAGUAAUGGGAACACGGCGGAGACCCCGACCCAGUUAUUGACUUGCUUUGCCGCCACGCCCAGUGGUUCGUGGAAGACAGUGGUGAAGUACAUGAUGAGGUUGCUGGACAAGCCGAUAGAGGCAAAUUGUUCGGCAACCUCCACGACUUUCCGAAAUGAAAAUCAAUCAGAAUAAAAAUAAAUAUGACACGACAGUUCAUUUAACUCUCGCGUGUUGUAGUUAAAAAAAGGAAUUAAAUGUUGUCAAUUAUAUAUAUAUUUUUUUAAGAAAAGAAAAAAAUAAACAAGAAGUAUAUAGAUUCGGUUUUGAGCAAGAGCAGUGGAUUAGAGAUUGAAAAAGAAAUAAAAAGAAAUAGAGAGUUGUAGUACAUAUUAUGAAGAUGGCUGCUUUCCAUCCGCCUCCAGGACGUACUGUGGGACUGUUGGAAGCGGUAGGGUGAUCGGGGAAUUUGUUGGGAAGGUUGAUGAUAGGGACGUUGUUGGGAGAUUUUUGUUUCUCCAUGGGAAGGUAUUAAUAUAUGAAUUUGCAGGGAAGAAACCAAGUGUUGAGAGGUAUAUAUAUACACUCUUUCUAAGAGCUUCAAAUUAAUCACCUUUUGCUUUCUCUCUCUCUCUCUUUCUCUCUCUCUCUCACACACACACACACAUAUAUAUAUAUUAAAUUGGUUCUUUCCAUAUUGAAAAAAUAUUUACUUUUUUUCUGAAGCCCACCAAUGUGAAUCAAAGAAGAUUGCGGUAAAAAAGAAAUAUUCCUAAGGGACGUUUCACCGAAUCAUGAAGUGAAAUAAAGUAAAAGUAAUUUGCAAUAUUAUGCUUGAAUUUCAAUAAAUGUUAAAAAAUAUUGAUUGAAAUUGACUAUAUCAUUUUAGGCCGUGAUAGUAAAUAAAAUCUUGAUUUAAAUAGAAUAAAUAAAGAGAAGGAAGGGAUGUCCAAAAUAUAAUUUGCCUUUUUGGAGGUACCUUAAGUUUGAGUCGUCAGCUAAAAAGAAAAGAAAGAGAUGUUAAACAAAAAGGAAUUCUGAGUCGGUUAGAGAGAGAAACAGAUAAAAUUAUUGAGAGAGGUAACACACAAAACUAAACUAUUGCUGCUCCACUUCUUAAUAAUUAUAUAUUGUGUUGGCUAAAACAUUAAAUUAGAACCAUUUUUUUUUAACAAUGAAGAAAAAUAAUAUACUUUGAAAAUUAAGGCAAAACUUACAAAAGUGUAAUAACCAAAGUUGAUGUUUACCUAUCAUAUAUGUUAGAACCAAAUAGUAUCAAAUUGAGCUCAUUAGAGUAAAAACAAAAAGAAAAACUUGAAGUUUGAGGUUCAAUCAUUUCACCUUCCAUAUUGUUUAAAAGAGAAAAACAUGAAUGGUAAUUAGAAUAAGUUAAUGGAAGCUAAUGUAACUGUACUUUCUUUUGUUUCUAAUGUGUAUAUUAGAUAGCAUUUUGGUUAAAGUCAUCAGUUAUUUUUGCAUUAAUGUGGCCGAUAAUGAAGUUUUAUGCUCCUCUCUCUCCUUACAUCCCUCUUCUCAUUUGUUUGGAGUUGAAGAAGAAGGAUGCAAGUAACGGAUAAGUAACGACAACGACAUGCCGUAGGGAGAGCUUGGAAUUAGGGACAAAAAUGAAAGAGAUCAAACUAAAAAUAUAUUCUUUUGAUUAAUUAAAAAAGCAAACCUAGGGAGCACUUCAUCUUUAUGUUAGCUUACCAUAAUUAUUGAAAACUCAUGGAAUAAACUUAGUAUAUAUAUAUAUAUAUAUAUAUAUAUAUAUAUAUCUGUAUCUGUGAAUAAAAGCUUAAAAAAUCUAUACUGUUUAAUUUGUCCAAUCAUACUUGUAUUAAGAAAUGGUGAGAUUUUGAACAAAGUUUGAAUUAGCCAUUAACGAAAAAAAUGUAUCUAAUUGUUAUUAAAUUAUAUGUGAUCAGAUGAAAUUUAGACAAGUGUUUUCAAGUAAAAGAUAAAAAGAAAAUUAUAACACCUCUUUGAAAAGACUAAUAUUUUAAAUGGUAAGUAUAGUCCAUGAACAUGAAGUUCAUUGGGUGGAGUUUUUUUUGUAGGGCUUUUACAUGAAUAAUGGUGUCUUGUCCUUUUAUAGGAAAUUUGAAAGAAAAAUAUAAAGUUAUUUGAAAGUUUAUUAUGGAAGUGAGGUGGUUUUUCUUAACCACAUUAAUUACAAGUUGUCUUAAUUCUCAAAACACAAUUUCAUUUUAAAUACAUUUAACUUAACAACCAAUUUCAAUGGAUAGUAUAUGCAUGUCAAUGAGCAGUAUUAUAUUCAUAAAUAGAUACUCUUUUAUGAAAGGAGUCAUUACUCAGUUUGAUUUUGUUAUUUUUUCCAAUAAAAAUUAAAUAUAUAAAGUAAUACUAAUCAUUUGUUAGGUUAGGUUGAUUAAACAUUUUUACAUACCCUUCCACAUACAUAUAUUUAAAAUUUUCUAAUUUCAUAUAAAAUCAAUAGAAUAAUUUAUUUUUAAUUUCAUAAAAAGAACACAGUAUUAAAACAAGGAAUUUUUUUUUGAAGCAAUAUCAAUUUACAUACAUGUGUUAAACUCGAGAAGAAAAAAUCAUUAACAUGCCACUAAUGAUGUUUACCUUAGCUUUUAGGUUUGAUUUUCUUCAUAAUUUUCAUAUCAUAUUUCAAAUAAAACUCUAUCUUUAUUAAAUAUAAGUUCGUGAUAAAACUCUAUGAUUAUAUAAUAAGUUUGUGAUUUGUGCAUAACAAAUUUGAGUAAUAAUAAGAAUGAAAAUAUAUUUUAAAAAAAUGGUGUCAUGGUUAGUGGGGAAGGGGGAAAUGGUGGAAGACUUAAGUUAUGAUUAAAUUUAUAUAAAAUUGAAGUAAAAGAUAAAUAAGUGACCUCCAAUCCAUAGUUUUCAACUUUACAAAGAUAUUAAUUAUUACAUAUUGAUUAGAUUAAUUUUCUUAACUUUGAUCUUUGAAUAUAUGUGGGGGAAUUGCCGACUUUCCUCAAUGGAGUAUCAUAAUCAUGGUAAUUAAGAACUUUAAGUUUUUAAAUAAACACCAACACAAUAAAAAAUCUCUCUCUAGGGAGGACAUAGUUUUUUUCUAGGGAUAAUUUAUUGCAAAUAAUAUAGGUUAUCAUAGUAUUACAAUUUUUUUUUAAAAAAAAAAAAUUGUAAUAUAUAUAAUUAAAAAUUUAAUAAUACAGAUUAGGUAAGUUUUUCCAUUAAAAAGAAACAAUUAAAAUUAGCUAAUGAUAUAUCAAAAAUGGAAUGUUGGAUACUUUAAUAAUUUACCCUAAAAAGUAAAAAUAGGAGAGUGGAGUGGAACCCAACCCAACUUUACCAAAAUAUAUCGUUGAUUUGACAAAUCUUCAUAUAGGAAUUUGAGAUUUGCCUGCUUUUAAAUACUUAAUUAUUCUCAAAAUCAACAAAUUAACAAAUAGCUAUUCCUAUAUAUAAAAAAAAAUAUAUGGCCAUUAAUUAACCAAAGAGUUAAUUACGUAUUUAUUUAUAAAAUUGUGAAAAAAAGAGGCUCUGCAAAUUGCAUCAAAAUUUAACCUAAACUUUUAAUUUGAUCAAAUUCCAUUAAAUCAAAUAAAUGUUUGCAAAAUAUAUGUACUAUAUGGGUAAGUAGUUGAUAAGAUUUUAAAGAAAACGACAUUAUUAUAUUAAAUCUAUUAAUUGAAAGUUUUAAACUUUAGCAAAGUUAUUCAAUAAUUUAUUAUUUGUACACUCGUCAAACUUUUCUUUUGGGGUGCAAAACUUUAUCUUGUUUCCUAUUGACUAGUUUAUGAAAACAAAAUUUACAUUCCUUCCCAAGAGGUGAUGAAAUUAAGAAAAAAUAUACUCAAUCAAGUUUGAAGUCAAAAUUUGAUAAUUAAUAUUCAUAGACGUGACAACCAAAAUUCAUAAUUUUGUAUAAAUAUUUAUAAUACAAACUAAGGAAUAGUUUUCUGUUACCAAACUUUAAGUGGAUGGAAAUAUAUAAAUGAAAAAAAAAAAGUGUAGAUAUGUAGUAGAGGAAUGAGGCCAAAAUAUGAUGUGAAUGUGAAGAUCACAACACUUAUAUACCACAUCAUAUUCAUGUCUAACCAAAUAAAAUGAAUUUCCUAAAAAGUACCAUCUAUAUGUGUGGACUGUGAAUAAAAUAUUGGUCACAUAUGGCAUUCAAAUAUAUUAAUUAGUAUAUCAUAUAAUUAUGCAAUAUAAUUAGCUAAUUAAUGGAUUAUAGUUUAUUGUAAAAUAAAUAAAUUUUCAUUACCAUCGUCUGCCUUAGGUUAGCAAUACGUGAUAAUUAGACUUAAGUUGUUAAAGUUCCAUUAAACAAACUUAAUUAACUUUUGUAGUAGUAAUUCCUUUUUUUAAAAAACUGUCCACCAUUUAGCCGAAAUUUUUGGUGAUUAUUUUUGCCAUUUACUCUGCUGAUUCACAAAAACACUUAAUUUGUGUUCCUCUUUUUGUUUAUUAAUUUGACUUUGUGUUAAAUUUACGUAAUUUGAUUAAGGUUGGUUCAUAGAGCAGUAAAAGGAAAUUAAUUAAGCUAUUUCAACUUCCUUUCUUUAUUUAAUAUAUAUACAUGAUAGAAAUGUGUUACGAACUUUUUUAUUAAGUUGACAGGCUCAUUAAUUAAUGUGUAAGCUAAAUUAUCUGACUUUGAAAUGUAAUUUUUUUUUUAAUCUAUUGACCUAUUAAGGCUUGAUUAAAUAUCACUUUGAGCACAUAUUAGAUAUAAUUUUGAAUUUUUAAAUAUAAUAAAACUUUUUAAAAUAUAAAAUAGCUCCUAGUCAAAAACUCUAUUAAAUUAAAAUUUUAAAAUUCCAUUGGACUCUAAUUAAAAAAGAGUUUAAAGAUGGAUUAUUAUUGAAUACAGAAGGAAAAGUUAUAAACCUCAAAAUUUAAGGAUUAAAUUUGUGAUGAAUCCUUAGACUAAAAAAAAGAAAAAGGGAUACCACUUUUAAUUGAAAAAGAUAAACAAUAUAUAUGAUAAAAUGGAGUGGGAAACAAAGAUUUAGAUGGACUAAACAUUGGUCAUAGAUUUAGAAAACCCAAAAAUCAUAUGGUGGUGAUUAAAGUUGCUUCUUUUUUGCAAGGAUAGACAAUAUAUACUGAUCUAGCAUUAUAACAUAAGAGUGUGUACUCACACUCUUAAAAGAAAGUUGUACUACAACUAACAACAUAUAUAGUGCUCCCAAAAGCUAUGUUUCUUACAUAUACAUAUACAUAUACAUAUAUAUUCAUGGCUAUAAAUAACAAUUGAAUCAUAUAUAUAUUAGAAAAAAGUACUAUAUUAUUCAUUAACAAAAAAAAAAAAAAAAGUAUUUUAGGUGCUUAUUUGAUACAAUCAUUUUAGGUAUUACUUUUGAUUCUUAAUAUGAUGUCACAUGUCCUAAAUUAUAUUUUAUUUUGUAUUGUGAUCAAUGUCAUGUUUUAAAUAAUAUCUUAAGAUAAUCAUACAUUCACAUCGAAUAUAAAAUAAAUAAAACAGAAUAAAAGUAAUUUUUAAAGAUAUGUUCUUUCACAUUAAAAAAUAGAUUGAGCUUUUAAAAGUAAAGGUUACCAAAUGAACACACCUUAUAUAUACAUUAAAAAAUUUUAAAAGAUAUAUUUUAAGGGUCGUUAAUAUUAAUCAAUUGUCUAUUCAUAUCGAUUUAAUAAGAUUACUUUUUUAUGUUUAUUCUUUAAAAUUUGAAUGGAUAGUGCAUCAAAAUUGAAUGACAAUCCGAGAGUCGAUAAAAUAAAAAAGGAUAGUAUAAUUCCAAUCCAACCCAAUCAAUCUACCUCAAUUAAUUGUUAUUUACAAUAGUUAUUGUUCUAAUCUAUAUCUAAUGAUUUAUUAAUUUUUGUUUAAACCUUGCUGUUAAUAAAGCAUAUAUAUAUUUAUAUAGCUAGGGUUUCAUUUAAUAAGGCAAACUUCACCAUAGAUAGUGCUAACAAGAGUCAAGUCACUCUCAAAUUAUAUUCUUCAACCUAUUGUGCUAAAUUAUAUACAUAUUAAAGAAGUGAUUAUGUAUAUAUAUAUAUAUACCUAUUGGAUGUGACCUUAUUGGAAAUGAUGUGGCUUGCUUUCUUAAUCCAAAUACAUAGAAUAUAGAAAUCAUUAUAGGGUUGGUAACCCAUACAUAUAGGGACAAACAAAUUCAAAGGGAUAAAUAAUUUUCUCUAUUUAUAAAUUUCUUCCAAUCACACGAGCAAAUGAUCCAAUCAAGUGAAGUUGGGAGGAUACAUUAUAUGUAUGGUUAAUUGCUUCUUCCUUAUCCUAUGAUACAUAUCUCUUGUAUUUCUUUAAUCAAUUAAAUUGAAAAGUUUUCUUCUUAAAUCGCUUCCUUUCAACGUCUCUCCGUGUCUAUUAUAUAAUAUAACAUAUAUCAUUUUCUAAUAAGUAUUUCACUUUUGAAUUUGAGUCAUGAUGAGUGGUUUAGAAAUGUGUAAACCUAGUUGAGAUAUAUAUUUGAAUAUUCCUAUUCUAAUUUUUACCUCUUCUAAUAUAUGUUGUUAAUUAAAAAGGAAAAAAAAGUAGUCGUUGUAGUUUUCAUGGAUGACCGAGAGUUAAAUUAUUAAAAUGGUACGGAACGUUUUGUGAUAAAUAUGAAAAUUAAUUUGAUAGAAAUAAAAGGGAAUUGAUGACAUAAAUAAUGUAAUUUGUGACAUGAAAUAAUUUAUAUAAUUAGAGCCUAGAUCUCUAUGAUGUUCAUUAUAUUCCAUUAAAAUAGAUUAAAAAAGAAAGAAAAAAGAGAUGAGAGAUGCUGAAAUAAUAAUUAGGUUAUAAUGAUGAUACUAAGAUUUUGGGGGAAAAAAAGCAUGCAAAUCGAAAGUAGCUUUUUGGGACUGUUUUUGGGCAAUAUUAGAGGCUUCUCCAAUAUUUAUUAUUGCAGAUGCAUCAGCUAGGCAAAUGUGGUUUUCUUUUCUUCUUCUCCAAAUACAAUGCAUUUUUUUUUCUAUUGAGUUAAAUGUAUAUAUAACUAAUAAUGCCCCCACACACACAAAGAAGUUGGGAAAAAGCACCUAAUUAUUUGAACCAAGGAAGAUUUGUGUUAAAAAGAUUUUGUCCACUUUAAAAGGUUCCUGUAAGAAAUUCAACUUCUCAUCAAUGCCAAAUAUAUAUGUAUUUUAAUUUUUUAAAUAUUUUUUUUUUCUAAUAACUAUACUUUCACAUCUGCUUCUAGGUUUUCUAGUUCAUUUUUCUCUUUAUUGUCUGCCAAAUACAAAGUUCCCACAGACUAAACACCUAUAAACUUGGCUUUUAUGUCUACCCCUGUGGACUCUAACCCCUACAACCUUUUAAUCUCGACAUCCAACCCUAUAUAUGAUAUGAUGGAAAAGAGAGGACAAAUUAAACCUAAUUUCAUAAAAGAUAGAUUUUGCCAUGAAUUUUUCUUAUACAUCUUUCACUAUUUGAGUUGCCUUCCAAUCCAAAAAACUUGACCCUAAUAAAUUAUAAUCUAAAAUUGUAGCUAUAUAUGUGUGUGUGUAGAUUCAAUAAAUAGCAUUAUCGAAAUGGUAUAGCAUAUAGGUAAAAUGAGUAGUUAAUUACUAUGUUGGAAACAAAUGAAAUAGCCUAGAAAAAUUGAAAAGAAAAGAAUGAUGUGAUGGAAAGAAAAGUGAUAAUAUAUAAAAGUUCUGUAAGAGCAUAUAUAAAUGUUAGAAAGAAAGAGAUUAGCUAGAGUUUUAGAUGCCACAAUGUCUCACAGCAUAAAAAUUAGGAGGGUUGGGGGAGGGCCAUGGAUCAGAACAAACUACAUCUCAACAACUCAAAGGCAUUAAUAGUGCGAUUUGAACUGACUACAUUCAACACAAACACAUUUAAUAUAUAUUUUUUGACAAAAUAUUUAUAAAAAAAAGUACUUAUUGAAGUUGAGAAAAAAGAAAAGAAAAGAGAUCUCUGUCUCUUAAAAAUCACUUUAAAAGGGAAAAAAACUAUAUAGUAUUAUGCCAGAAGCAUCUUUUAAGUCUUACUCCUUAGUAAGUGGUAUGUGACUCCUCUUUAGUGUCCCUUCCCUUCAAUUAUAUACAUCUUUAUUUUCAAACGCAAGUGUUUUUCUUUUUCCUAAAUAGUAAUUAAAUUACCCUAUAUAUUUCCAUAUCGUUUAUUUGUACUAAUUAUUGCUCUUUAAGUCGUUUAAUAUACACAUAUAUUCAAUAAUAAAUAAAAUUAAAGAUUGUUUUUUUAAAAAGAAAAAAAGAACAAAUUUAUAGAAGAUUUGAAAGGUAGAAUUGGUAUUACACAGCUGGGUGGAUGGAUGUUUGAUGUGUAAGAGAAUAUUAUCCAUGAUUGGGGAAUUUCCUUCGCAUCUCUAAAAAAAGGAUUGCCAAAUUACUUGAAUCCAAGAAUUAGCCAAUAUUCUCUCUUUCUUUUUUUAACUUCCAUUUUGAAUACCUAUUUUAAAGAUGUAUAUAUGUAUAUACACUGUUAAAUUAUGAUGGAAAAAUAAUAUUUGGAUGUAAUUUCCUUCUGUCAACGUGUAACUUUUGUAUAACUUUUUUUUGAUAAAGAAGUUAGGGAGCAUACGAGUUCUAAUAAUUGCUUAUAAUUAGGAUAUGUAUGUGUGAUAAAUAGUUAAAUGAAAAAUGACAGUAUUUCCAUUUGAAACUGUGUAGAGAAAACCAUUAUCAAUCUUCACAAAUUAAAAGAUAUAUAACGUAUAUUUGAGUGGUUUUUAUUUUUAUUUUUUAUUUAAAUUUUGUCCAUGUCUCCAUAACUUUUAUCAAAUAAUGUUUGCUCUCUUUAUCAUUCCAACUUCUUUUGCUGGUUUUUUGGGGUCAAGAUGCUCUUUUUGUUGGUUGUUAUAGAUGCCAAACAAUAAUUCUUAAAAAAAUAAUACAAGAUAAAAAGGAAUUUUAAAUAUAAUUGAUUAGAUACAUAAAGAAUAUAUAUGAAAUACAUGCACAUGUAAUAUAUAUAUAUUUUAUAUAGUGUAUGAAUUGUGAUGAUGGGUAGAGGAAGAAGCACAUGAUCACUAAGACAAAAGCUUGUUCAUCAACAGUUCCAUCCAACUUGAUUUGACCUUCACUUUACCCAAAGUUGCAUUACUUCUCUUGUUUAAGUACUUAUUUCUUUUUUUCAACAAUAUAUAUCUUAUUUUUUCAAUUCAAUUCAUAAAUAAAGAACCUUGUUCCAUACCUACCCAUGGACUUUGACACUUUUUUCUUUUUCAAAAAUAAAAAAAAAGCAUCCCUUUCUUUAUUUAUUUUUUCUAUUCAUUCAGAAUAUUGAAACUUAAACUUGAAUAAACUUGGUACAUGAUCUUACACUAAAAUUAUAAUGCCUACUGGUAGUAAUGUCAAGUUUUGUUGGGAUGUAAACUCAAUUAGUUAAAGAUAAAAUGUUAAAAUCCCAACCUCCUCAAUUAAAAAUUGAUUCCAUGAAUAAUAUAAGAAAAUUUAAAAUUAAAUUUCACUUGUGACUCAUAAACUAAGCCCCGGAAGUUUAUAGUGAAAGAAAAUGGUUUUUCUUUCCCUUUUGUUUGUUGUAAUAUAAAUAUUAUAUGCUUUGGCUUAUAAUUAAAGUUGCAUAUUUUUCAAGCUUUAAAUGUUAUUUCUCCAAUGAGUAUAUAUUAUUUAGAAGAAAGAAGUGUGUUGGAAAAUAUUUAUAAUCUCAAAGUAGACCUAAUGUACAUAUAUAUUGAUUGAAAAUAAUGCUCUUAAUUAUGAGAUAGAAUAUUAAUUACUUCAAACUCAACAUUUGUAAAAGAAAACAUUGAAAUUAAAAUAAAAGAUAAUUCAAAAGCUAAAGAAUACAAUGGGCUUGAAAUUAAUUUUAAAAAAGAUGGGAGUCUAAAAAUUUUAAUUUUGAUUUACAUAAUUGAAAAGCAUACAAAUCCCAACUUAAAAGAUUGGAUAUAUAUAUUUUAGUAUCAAGAUCUCCUUUUAAGAAUACUUUAUUAUGGAUUUCAAUUCUACUUUUCUAACCAUUAAUUAUUCAAAACUCUAAAUUAAAGCACCCUCUCAUAAACUAAUUAUGCUAAGGCAAGUUCAUUGAUCAUGGACCACCUCUAUGUUUAAGUGAAUGUUUACAUUAAAUGUCAUAGUCUACAUUUUAUUUAAAAGGAAACAUCAAUAUGAAAACAUAGUUGAACUAAUAAUUCAGAGAUAAACUUGAUGGAGAGAUUAGAGUUUUGAUUCAUUUUAAUGUAUAGUACAAAAAAAAAAAAACAAAUAUAUUGUUAACUAAAUGAUCUAAAUUAAGAGAGGGUGUUCAAAUAAAUGGAUAAAAUUAAUGAGAGGAGAAGGGUUUGGUUGGCUAAAUAUUUUAUAAAUCUACAAUUUAUAUACCCAAUUUCACAGAGGAGAAGUGCAAUUUUAUUUUGAAAAGAAACAAACAUUUUUACUUUGGUUUCUCUCUUUAUGUCGUAAUCUAACUUUUUCUUUUUGAAACUUAAAAGGAAAAUAAGAAACGGGAGAUCAAUUUGAAAAUCAAGUUUAUAAUACCCUAUUUUAUUUUAGAAUUAAAAUACAAAUUUCUUGAUAUGAAAAUGAAUGAAAUAAUAAGAGUACUCUCUAAACCUUUCUUGUUUUAAUUAAAAUAAGGGUUUAGUGAAGAAAACAUGUACGUACAUAAUGGUAUUCUAACAAUUAUCUAAUAUAAUUACCCUCUUGUAUAUAUUGGUAUGUUUUAAAAAAAGUGAGAUAUAGGAGAUAUAUAUAUAAUGGUAUAUAUAAUUUUGAAGUGAAACAAAAUGUGAUAUGUCAAAAAUAUUUCCUAAUGGAUUAUUGUGCUUUAAAUAUUAAAAUGACGUUUUUAUGUGUUUUUUUUUUUUUGUAAAGCCCUUUUAUGUUAAAUCUUAUGUUGUCUUUUUGGAGUGUUUUUAAGAAAAGGGUUAUGGGUCUUUUUUAAAAAGUUGUUUGUAUUUAAUUAGUAAUGACAAAAUGAAUUAAUGGAAAAGGCCGCCAUCAAAGGAAACCAGAAAUUACGAUAAUACUCGUAAAUAUAUAAUAUCUAAAUAUAAUAUAAUGGAGAGAAAACUAAAUAAAUUAUUUACACACAAAUGGAUAUGGGAGUGAUUGCAUGACAGUUCGAACUCAGGUAAAGAGUCUGAGGGUUUAGGAAUAUAUAUAUAUAUAUAUAUGGAGUUUGUUUUUGUCUUUCAAUUUGAUGUGUGAAACAGAGUGGAACCAAUACACAGUUCAUGAUGUCUUUGCUUACUCAACAACACAAUAUACAACCAUUAGUGUUAUUCCAAUACAUGCCAAAUGCAUCAGUUCCCUUCAAACUAAACCCAACAAAAUAAAGUAUACUUUACAUAUAUAUAUAUAUACCGAAAGUACACUAAAAGGAAUGCAAAAUAGAAGACCCAAAUAUAUUAGUGCCAAACAUAUAAAAAAUAGAAGAUGAUGGUCAUGAUCUUGUGUGUUUUCUUUUUCUUCGUGGGAAUGAAAUGUCAGACAACAUCAUUAAAUUUUGUGUGUUAGUUAGAUAUUUAAAAAUGAGAAUGUGUAGAUAUCACAAAAUAUAUGUGUAUCCAAAGUACCAAAAAAUUCAAGAAAAUCAAUGAUCAAACUUGAAAAUAAAAUAAAAUAAAAGAGUUGACAAGAAAGGAACACAAUGGAAGCAAAGAAAAAGCAGUUGAGGAACAGAAAGGGGCCAAAUGGAAGGGCAUAAGGAGGCAGCAUGCAUGGAGGAGAGGCAAAUAAGUCCAUAAAGUCUUUAAUAUGUUAGAGACCAAAAAUAAUAUAUAGUUUGAUAUGGUUGGUCACUAACUAAGCAUGAUUGAAAUGUAACAAAAAAGAAAUAUUAAACCUCCAUAUCUCUCCAAUUUCUACGUGAGAAUAAUGCCAAUAAAUAUACAAACCAAACACCAACACCAACGUACAAUUCACAAUUUACAGUUAAAUUAUACAAAAUAAACCAAAUAAAAAAAGAGAGAAAAUCCUCCAUUAAAGGAAGAGUACAAGACAUAAAUUGACUCUAGAUAAUUGAAGUUUAGGGUAUAUAGAAAAUGAACUAUUUAAUUCUGAGUAAUGGGAGGGGAGUUGUGUGCUAACCUUGGAGGUAACAACAAAUGGGAUGGUUCCAUGACAGCUGUGUGGCACCACAAUACACAAUACACAAUACACAAUACACAGUACCCAGUACACAAUACACACACCAAGUUUUCUUUAAUUUCUAAAUGAUUUUUUUAGGUUAUUUGAGAGAGCCAAUGGGAAAUGAAAGAGGGACAAACCAAUAUUGCUUGUUGCAUUUGUGUCAAAUCAAACCCCAACACAACACACAUAUCAUUCAUCAUCAUGCUCAUGGGGGUGAUUCAAUUCAAUUCAAGCCUUGCAUUUUUGUUUUCUAUUAAGCCCUCUCUUACUUGUGGGCUUUUCUUUUUCUUUUUCUUUUUGGAUGAGGGAUUCUAGGGUUUUCCAAACAAACAAAUAUAAUAUAUAUACAUAUAUAUUUAUAUAUAUGCCAUAUGCCAUCAUUUUUCAAGAUUAUUGGUCACUCAAAAAGAAAGAAAAAGUCUUAUGUGUAUGUAUUUGGCCCAUGAAUCAAAUAUGGUAUUAGUAUUCAAAGUUUGUAAAAAAGGAAUGGUUGUGCUUCUUUUAUUUAAUAAAUAUAUCAAUACUACUUCAUCAAAUGGAAUUUAAUAUAUUAUAUCAAUAUUAAAGUAACGUCGAUUAUAUAUAUAUAUCAUUUGAAAAUAGAAUCAUCUCCACCAUUAUAGUUGGUUAGUGGUCAAAUAAGCCAGUUAUGAACUUUGAAAAAUAUCUUUUAAACUCAUCUAUUUUUAGUUACCAGUGUUUACAACAGUACAUCAAUUGUGUAUACCAAGCUUCCUACUUUAUGAAAAACAAUGCCAAUUCUUAAAUCCACUUUAUACUAGAUACCUACUUAACAGUAGUUUGUUUAAUUUAUAGAACUUAGUUAAAUUAAAGAUCACUAUGGAUGGACAUAUGAAUUGUCACAGUUGUUUGUGUUAAUCUAAGAUAGUUGAGCAUUAUUUUAAAGAUUUAUGAACAUCUAGUUAGGAUGCUCUACCAGAUGACAUCGUCAGAGUUUUGGAUGUCCUUGAAACUUUGCCUUUUUGCCUUUUGAGAUUCUCACGUUAACUUCGUUUAUUUUUACUUUUCUAACUUUUUUUCAUAUAAAUAUAAAAUCCAUCUCUCUUUUUUAAUUUUAAAUAAAAUUGAUUUUUUUUCUUAUUAUACUGUGACUGUUUUAUUUUUUAUUAAAAUAUUCCAAUCUAAAUUAGUGUAUAUACGUAUUAGAAAACUAACUAGUAUAAAGAGAGAUUAAAAAAGAUGUCUUUAUUAAUUAAUGAAUAAUCAUAGAAAUGGUUGGAAUAUAUUAGGUCAAUUUAAGAUACUAAUGCGUACAAAUUCUAUAAAACAAAUACAAUUAUGAAAGUAUUGUUGGAUAUGUUGAGAAAUAUUCAUACAAAAUAAACGUAGUUAUGUAAGAAUGUGAAAUAUAUCCCAUAGUUAUUUUUAAUGUUUGUUGUAAGUAUUAUAAAUGAAAAGAUGAAAGAUGAAUUCAUACAUUUUUAUAAGAUAAAAGUAAAAUUGUAUAAUAUAAGUAUAAUGUAUGUAUGUAUAUGAAUGCAAUGUAAAGGAUUGAGUGAUAAGUGAUAUAUAUAUAUAUACACACACAACUUACGUUAAAGGGAUUAAAAGUUGGACUACAUGUGUGAUGUUAAUUAAAUAAUAAAGAAUAAAAAGAAAUAAAAGGAAUCGAUGAAUUGAGGAAGUAAAAAGGAGACAAAGUCAACAGUAUCGAUUCACUUCAACAAAACACACACACGCUUCCAAAUAAGCGAUAAGAUCAGAAAAUGAACCAUUCGUUCUUUACUUCCUCAAAACUGAAACUACACUACAACACACACUCAUCAAUUUGAUGUUGCUUUGCAAUUGCAUAUUCCCCUCACCCAUCAAAAUUAAUUAAUCAAUCAACAAUCAGAGUACCAACCACAACAUUGCUCUUCAAAUUCUGUAUUUUCCACAUCAUUGAUCUCUUCACUUAUUAAACUUCCAUCCUUAAUUUCUCUUUGAUCCACAAACCCUUCUCGUAAUCUCUUUACAUUUCCACCCAACUUCUUUUUUCGUUCAAUUGCGGCAGCUCAAUUUGUGUCUUGGGUUGUGCUCCGAUUUCAUGUUUUAGUUUUCAAACCAUUUCUGGGUUUGGCUACAGGUCAUGGCUGCAUUGGCUUCUAAACUUUUGAUGCCCUCUGACAAUGGUUACAGGGUGUGGGAAGACCAAACUUUCAUCAAGUGGAGGAAGAGGGAUUCCCAUGUUCCUCUACGCUGCCAGGAUUCUGUUGAAGGUAUCUCCUUCCUUAUCUUUUUACAUUUAAAAUUAAAAAAAAAAAAAAAAAAAACGGAUUCCACAACAAAAUGCCCUUUCUCUGUGGAUCAUGGAUAUCAAUUGCUUCUUAAACAUUGUCUUCUAGGGGCCCUCAUUAGUGCCUAAUAAUGUGUAUGCUUAGGAUGUCUUAAGUACUGGCAAGACCGUACUAAAGUAGACUUACUGGUGUCGAACUCGGCUGUUUGGAAUGAUGAUGCUGUUCAAAGUGCUCUUGACAGUGCUGCUUUCUGGGUUAAGGACUUACCUUUUAUCAAGUCUCUAUCUGGUUAUUGGAAAUUUUACUUGGCUGCUACUCCAACAAGUGUUCCACACAAUUUUCAUGCUACUGUAUUUGAGGAUUCUCAAUGGGCAAAUUUGCCAGGUAUAUUACAUUUACAACGCGUCAAGAUAUAGUUAGGAUUUAAAAUGUUUAUUGCCCACGUUUUUCUUUGCAUUGGGCUCUCUAUUCUCAUCUAUAUUUCUAGCCUAAACUCAAUUAGCCAUAUUCAUAAGUAUGUUUGGAGAUACCCUCCAAGGUCUUUGGUUCAGGCCUGGUUUGAUGGAUCAGUUUAUCAAUGAUCAGAAUCGAAUCAUUAGAGUUCAGAAAGUUAAAUCAUAGCUGUCUCGUUGCAUAUGAUUCUUUAGGAAAUAAAGAGGAAUAUAGAACAUCUAUUUUUCUUCAAUGUCGUUUUUUUGCCUGGUAAACUCUUUAUUGCUUGUCUAUUUGGAACAGUUCCUUCGAAUUGGCAAAUGCAUGGAUUUGAUCGGCCCAUUUAUACCAAUGUUGUCUAUCCCUUCCCUCUUGAUCCUCCACAUGUUCCAGAGGACAAUCCUACUGGCUGCUACAGAACUUAUUUCCACCUUCCAGAAGAAUGGAAAGGUUCUUUUUUCUUCUUUUCCUUGUUUUCUAAAAAUGUAGGAAACAGACAUUAUUCAAUAUGCCAUCUCUGUAAUCUAUAUUAUAUUUGAUGUAUAAACAAUGACUUUGACAGGUCGUAGAAUUUUGUUGCACUUUGAAGCUGUUGAUUCUGCAUUUUUUGCGUGGAUAAAUGGGAGUCUUGUAGGGUACAGGUAAACGGUGACUUGUAAGGCUGGUUUAUUUGUCAUUUUUUUAGUCUUUGAUAGUGUUGCUCCCUUUCAUGCUGGUUUUCUUAUGAGAAAAUAAAAUGGAAGAAUUGCAUUUUGUUUUCCAUUUUAGCUACUGAAAUGUGAUUUGGCUUGUGGUUUUUAAUAGACCGUGCCUAGUGAAGGUGUGGCCAUUUGGAGGGGUUUGGUGAAAUUAGUAUUGAAAGCUCAUUGAAAGUUAGGAGAUUGUAUUGUUGGAUAUGAAAACUGUGGUUAAAGCCUUUAAUGGGAGUAGUGAUAAAUCUGAAACUUUUUGGAAGAGUUAAAUAUUUGGUGUGAUUAUGGCUUUGUCAGUCAGGAUAGUAGACUACCAGCAGAGUUUGAAAUAACAGAAUAUUGCCAUCCAUGUGGCUCGCAGUCCAAAAAUGUUCUUGCUGUUCAAGUGUUAAAAUGGAGUGACGGUUCUUACCUUGAGGACCAAGACCAGUGGUGGCUCUCAGGGAUUCAUCGGGAUGUAAUUCUUUUAUCCAAACCUCAGGUUUAUUUUCUAUAUCUUCUCUAGUCUACUUUCUGUUUUAUUUGUAAAGGUUUUUAAGUGUUUUUAAUCGAUUAUGCUGGUUAAAAAAAUAAACUUGAAAUUAUAUCCAUAUCAUAAGUCACAACUAUUGAUUUCUUUAUGCGUGUGUGUUUGUGUAUGUGUCAUAUAUAUCUUCGCACUAGUUUAGUUCUGUAUCUCUAAUACUUCUAAAAUUAAAUAGUUGAGAAAAUAAAGUUGAAAUGUUAUUGUUCUUGCUUCCAAUUUGGUUGGUUCCUAAGAUAAAAAAUUUGCAUGUAGGUGUUCAUAGGGGACUACUUUUUCAAGUCACAUGUUGGAGAGGAUUUUUCUUAUGCUGAUAUACAGGUACGCUGUAGAUUCACAUGUUACCAUUUAUAUGCUUUCAGCAUAAACUUUCGUUUUUACUUUUUAAAUAAAAUGAAAUGUAUUAAUUUUAAGUUUUAACUUAUAUUUUAAAAUAUUUGGGUCAAAAUGUUUAAUUUCCCAAAUGGUUGAAAAAAGAGCGAGGAUAGAAUGAAGGAAUUCGGUGAAGUGAUGACAGAGCAUGGAAUGCGUUUAAUUUACAUGAAUAAUGAAGAAACAAGUAGUCCCCAACUUGGUGGUUUUUCAUGGUCGUGCUAACACAAUAGAUUGGUUGAUCAGGACUACCUUUGCUUGUUGGGCCGUUCAAUUGUCUUCUUUGUCAAAAGGGGAGAGUAUGCUAGUUUGUUUGAGAAAUGUUUUUUCCAUACUUUUGGCUUCUGUGUGGCUCAUCAGAGCGGUACCAGGAGUAUGGUCGAGCAGUUCCUCCUCAAUUUAUGGGAGGGGGAAAAGUAUUUUUUCGUUUUUUAUGGCUUUCCGGGGCUUGUGCUAUUUAUGGACUUUGUGGGGUGAGCGGGAUAAUAGGACUUUUAGAGGGAGGGAUAGGGACCUAGUGAGAUUUAGUCUCUUGUUCUCUACCAUGUUUCUUUUGUGGUCUUCAAUUUUGAAGACCUUUUUUAACUACUUUAUAGGCAUUCUUUUCAUAGUUGGAGUCCCUUUUUGUAGAAGAGUUUCUCCUUUUUAUGGGCUUGGUUCUUUUGUAUGCUGUUGCUUGUAUUUUUUUCAUUUUUUCUUAAUGGAAGUUGUUGUUCCUAUACCAAAAUAAAAAUAAAAAUGAAAGUAAAGUAUGAAAUUGGAUGUAAAGUGAGCACUACUGCGAGAAGUAGUUAUAAGCAAAUGGUGGAUUGUGAGUUGGACAAUAAUAAUAAUAAAGGCCUAUUGCAUGAGCAACUCCUAAAUUAUAGAGUUUUUAGUUUGAAGCUGAUCAAGAGAUUGCAAGACAACUGAUACCUUUCAAUUUUAUUCAUGCUUUGUCAUGUACCUCUUGGAAGACUAGCAGUAUCUCAGUAGCAGCUGGAGUUAUUUGUUUUGGUUUUCGUUUGUUUUCUCAAGUUGUUUUGUAUUGUUCUGAGCGUGUUGGUUCUGGUUUGUUUAUUUUUUCCCUUUGUAUUAGCUUGUUCUUUUUGGUUUAGCUGUGUUUGGGGUUGUUUCUUUUGUUUCUUAUUGUCUCGUUGUAUUUGGUUCGGUAUUUUGUACUUUGAGCUUUAAUCUCAGUCGUUAUAUCGAUGAGGCUUGUUUCUGUUUUAAAAGAAAAAUUAUAUUCAUUAGAAACCCUUGUUUUAACCCUGAGUUAUUUUGUAAUUAUAAUCUCUCUCAAACUUGUCACUAGUUGGGCUCCUUUUUUGUAACAUAAGCAUAAAGAAUAUUAUUAGUUUUUCUUCAAAAAAUUGGUCCUCUAAAUUAUCUAUAAUGUAACUGGAGAGAGACAGAAAAAGAAAAAGACGUACAAUUAGAUUCCAAUGACAAACGUAACUGUAGAAGUUUGGGACACAAACGUCAGUUGGCUUAAAAAUAAUGUGUGUGUGUGUGUAUAAGAUUUUAAAAUCUUUUUAUCUUUUGAGUUGGGUCAAUAUUAAAAUUUUAACUUUUGAUCCAAUAAGAUUGAAAAAACUGAUUCAGAUAUCUCUUAAAAGAACGAACCUUGUCAUGGUACAGUUUCCAUAAACUGACAUAUUGAUUUUGUUUGAUUGAUGGCAUGAAUUUUCUAAGCAUCAUGUAUAUCACUGCGUCAAUUACCCGACAUGACAGAAACUUGUUUAUGGAAUCUUACAGGUUGAAGUGAAGAUUGACAGCUCUCUUGAAGGGAGGAAGGAAAAUUUUCUUAACAAUUUUAAGUUAGAAGCAGUAUUGUUUGACAGUGGAAGCUGGGACAAUCAUGAUGGUAAUAUUGAUCUUCUCUCGUCAAACAUGGCCAAUGUUAAGCUUUCUCUGCUUUCUGUCACAACCCUGGGGUUUCAUGGUUAUGUACUUGGGGGAAGAUUGCAAAAACCUAAACUUUGGUCUGCAGAGCAGGUAAUAAAGAUUCUCAUUCAUCUGUUACUUUCUCCUCUUUCUUUGUUACAUUUUGCUAAUUUUUAUUUUCUGCUUUUUCCCUUGUAAACAGCCACAUCUAUACACUCUUAUUGUUCUUUUGAAAGACUCAUCAGAUCAGAUUGUUGACUGUGAAUCAUGCCUAGUUGGAAUAAGAAGUAUAACCAAAGGUCCAAAACAGCUACUUGUCAAUGGUCGUCCAGUGGUAAUCAGAGGCGUGAACAGGCAUGAGCAUCAUCCACGUCUCGGGAAGACGAACAUAGAGGCCUGCAUGGUUCGGGUAACGCUUUCCUUUUCCUUUUUCUCUGGGCUAAAAAUUAAAUUUUCUGAACGCAGUUACAAAAAUAGUGAAGUCUAACCAAAAAAUCAGUAGAUAAUAAAACAUUCAAACUCAACAACAAAAACGUGAAAUCCAACUUAUUGUAUGCAGUUAAAACUAUCCUUGCGGAGAUUUGAUUUGAAUGAAUUCACUUAUUUUUCAUGACAAUUCUCUUCCUUGGUUUGAUCUGUUUGAGUUUGCUCAGACUAAGGCCUCUUUUUGGUGCUGAUAUCUCUCCAAGUCUUUUACAUGAUCUCCACUCAAGAUUUGUUUAAAUUGGAAUGCUUUUGUCCUUCCUGCAUAUUGUAUUUUGAGCAUUAGACUCUUUUCAUUUUAUCAAUGAAAUACCUCUUUCCUUUUUUUUUUUUUCAAAAAAAGAAAGAAAGUAAAGCUACAUGAUUAGAGAAACCGGAACAACAAAAAUAGUCUCCUUUAUGAAUACAUGCUUACCUAGUUACGAAUCUUCAAAAGAAAUUAGAAAUUAAACGAAGGAGUUUAAUUGCAUCAUUUAUUCAAAUAGAGGAUUUAAAUUGCUAUACUCAUUCAACGUUGACAUGGAUGAAAUUUGACUCAUCCUCUUUUGUUUAAGGGUAUAAACCCAACUUUUUCAAUUUCUUUAUUGUUAUUUCUUACGCUAAAGAGGCCUAAUUUAUAGGCCGUAGGAUGAGGUUUUCCUGAAGGGACGUUUAUGGGCUGUAGGGAUGGCACACUAUAUAGUGACUGAAUUGUUUGUUUAUUAUUGUGAUUGCAGGAUUUGGUCCUAAUGAAACAGCAUAACAUUAAUGCGGUGAGAAACAGCCAUUAUCCUCAACACUCUCGAUGGUACGAGCUGUGUGAUUUGUUUGGCAUGUACAUGGUAGAUGAGGCCAACAUUGAAACACAUGGUUUUGAUUUUUCUGGACAUGUGAAGCAUCCAACUUUGCAACCUAGUUGGGCUGCUGCAAUGUUGGAUCGUGUAAUAGGAAUGGUGGAAAGAGACAAGAACCAUGCCUGUAUUAUUGUUUGGUCCUUGGGCAAUGAGUCUGGAUAUGGACCCAACCACUCUGCUCUAGCUGGUAUGCCAUUUUGAUUUAGUUAUAUCCUUUGAGUUGAUUUAAGUGUAAGAAAUGAUUAAAAUACGCUUGUUUGAUGCUUGGAAGGCCAAUUUAUCACGCUUAUGCAUGUUGGAUGCAAUAUUUUUAUUUCUGUUAGAAGUAUUUUGACUCAGACAUUGGUGUAGGUUGGAUCCGUGGAAAAGAUUCGUCUCGGGUGUUGCACUAUGAAGGAGGAGGAUCUAGAACCUCUUCUACUGAUAUAAUUUGUCCAAUGUACAUGCGCGUGUGGGACAUAGUGAACAUUGCUAAUGAUCCCAAUGAAACUCGUCCAUUGAUACUUUGCGAGUGAGUCUUGUUGAUAACUAUUUUCUAAACUUCUAUGGCAAUUUUACAACAUUUUUAUCGUGGGCUUUUGUUAACGUUAUACAUCUUUAAAAACAACAGGUACUCACAUUCAAUGGGAAACAGCACUGGAAAUCUUCAUAAAUAUUGGGAAGCAAUUGACAACACCUUUGGCCUCCAAGGAGGUUUUAUCUGGGAUUGGGUUGACCAGGUUUUGACACUGUUCGAUCUGUAUUGAUAAACUAAUAAUGUAGAGUAAACUGUUUGUUUGUUCUUCUACCCAUGAAUUAUCUGUUUCAUUUAUCUAUUUUUAUGCUGCAAACUAAUUUUUCUAAUCAUUAGCUUUGGGGUGUUUACUGUUUAACCCCUUUUUGCAUUAGUUUCAAAUGUUUUACUUUUGAUCUAGGCACUAUUGAAGGAAGUUGGCAAUGGCAGGAAGCGAUGGGCAUAUGGAGGUGAAUUUGGGGAUAUUCCAAAUGAUUCGACUUUUUGUCUCAACGGAGUGACAUGGCCAGAUCGAACUCCACAUCCUGCACUACAUGGUAAUGCAACAAUCAGAUUCUUAUAUAUAUCUACGUGUUGAGCAACAAUUUUGGAGGCAUCAUGUAUGUUACUGACUAGCUUUCAAAUUCGCAAAACUCUGAUUUCAGAGGUCAAGUAUCUUCAUCAGGCAAUCAAAAUUUCAUCAAAGGAUGGAACACUUGAGGUUUUCAGAUGCCUAACUAGAUUAUUUCAUCAAUUGUUGAAGUUUGGAGGGAGAUGUCUUACAAUGUAUUUCCAUUUGCAGGUUCUGAAUGGUCAUUUUUUUUCAACAACAGAGGAUUUGGAGUUCAGUUGGAGCAUUUAUGGUGAUGGUCUUGAACUUGGAAAUGGAAUUCUCUCUCUUCCUGUAAUAGGUCCUCGGGGAAGUUACAAUAUUGAAUGGCAAUCAAGUCCAUGGUAUGAUCUAUGGGCUUCAUCAUCUGCACUGGAGUUCUUUUUAACUAUAUCCGUGAAACUUCUGCACUCAACACGAUGGGCCGAAGCUGGUCACAUUGUUUCAUUAUCACAAGUCCAGUUGCCAAUGAAGCGAGAAUUUUUUCCUCAUGUAUGCUUUUAAACACCGAAUAAAACUAAGUUGGGGAAUUUACCAUUUCAAUAAUAUAAAUUAACUGUGGAAAAUAUAUAUUGAUGCGCAGUCCAUCAAGAAUGGAAGUUCUACUUUAGUCAACGAAAUUCUUGGGGAUUCAGUUCGAGUCUACCAGCAGAACUUAUGGGAGAUUAAAUUAGAUGUUCAAACAGGAACUCUUGAAAGCUGGAAGGUAAUAUAAUAUAUAAUUGAAUUUGUUAAUCUAUAGGGGUUUUUAAUUUCACUAUGCUUUAUUUUAAAGUUGGAUAUGAAAUGAAGCAACCCCCUUUUAAGAUAUGUAUCAGCAUAAUUUUAUUAUUCUUCAACAUGUUUUUUGAGCUUCACGAGAACUAGGGAGUCCAAUUUUAAGUGUUGACUUGCAGGUUAAAGGAGUUCCUCUGAUAAUUAAAGGCAUCAUUCCUUCCUUCUGGAGAGCGCCCACUGAAAACGACAAAGGUGGAGGUUCAUGUAGUUAUUUAUCUGUAUGGAAGGCUGCUCAUAUUGACAAUCUCUCUUUCACUGCGGAAAGAUGCUCCAUACUUAGUACAACAGAACAUUAUGUGAAAAUCGCUGUCAUUUUUCUUGGCGUCAGGAGUGAUGAUCGGCAGGCUUCUAACUCUGACUUAGAGAAAUCAAAUGUCUUGAUUCAAGCGGAUAUGACAUAUACAAUUUUUGGUUCUGGGGAUGUUCUUGUGAACUGCAAUGUACAACCAAGUCCAAAUCUUCCUCCUUUGCCUCGGGUGGGAGUUAAAUUUCAUCUAGAUAAAUCUAUGGACCGGGUCAAAUGGUAUGGAAGAGGGCCGUUUGAGUGUUAUCCUGAUCGAAAGGCAGCUGCUCAUGUUGGAGUUUAUGAGAAGAAUGUGUCUGAAAUGCAUGUCCCAUACAUUGUCCCUGGAGAAUCUUCGGGCAGGACUGAUGUCAGGUGGGUAACUUUUGAAAACAAGGAUGGUGUUGGAAUCUAUGCCUCAAUUUACGGAAGCUCACCGCCUAUGCAAAUGAGAGCUAGCUAUUACUCCACAGCAGAACUUGAACGUGCUGUACACAAUGACGACCUUGUUGAGGGAGAUGACAUUGAGGUAGAUAUUUCGGAAUAUUUAGCAUAGCUCUGAGCAUUUAAAUACGGCUGCCUAAUAAUAUUCCUUAACCGCACAGUUCACACAAAUUUUUUAAGAAUAUGCUGGUUUCACCCAUAUUGUUAGUCGCUCAUUAGUAGCAACGCAAUCAAUUGACUAACAGAUGAUCUCUGAUUUGACUCUUCUGUUGGGUUUUACCAUCCUCUACAAUCUAAUCUCUUAGUUUCAUCGUGGUGUCAUGUAGGUUAAUCUUGAUCACAAGCACAUGGGCGUGGGAGGAGAUGAUAGCUGGUCUCCCUGUGUGCAUGAAGAAUAUUUACUUCCUCCAGUGCCAUACUCGUUCUCGAUCAGGUUCUGUCCAGUAACUCCAUCCACUUCUGGCUAUGAUGCUUACAGAUCCCAACUUCUAUUGUAGUGAAUUGGGCGUCAGCAUUCAACCAAGUAAAUAACUUCCAAUAAUCUAUUGGUUUGCUUAAUGACAAAAGGGACUUGCCAUCUCAUAGCUAACCAUGUAGACUCUCUCUCUCUCUCUCUCUGGGUCUGUCUAGAUGUAAUAUUCAGUAGAAUCUCUGUGUGACCUGGAGUGGAGAAGAGAGAAGACUCAUAUUAGUUGUGAUUAUCUAUGGGUCGCAUUAAAUAAACAUUACAAAUAAUGGGAAUGCUGCAAUUGAUACCCGUAAAAGAGAAUUUUUAUUGAUGUUAUUGAGAUAAUAGAUGCCCCUCUGUUUGUUUGUUCUAUCCCUCCCACGUAUGUUGAUGUUAAGAGUGACAAUUCUGAUUGCUGGGCUCUUUAGAAGCUGAGGAUUCGAGCAAUAGGUUGGGGAUAUUGUUUCCGACCAGGGACUUGAAAGGAGUCCUCCAUUUGACCCCGAUCCCCCAAUCAAACCGGGAUUCUUCGUCAUUCAAAACUACUACUUUGUUACCUUCUUUAAAUUAAGAUAAAAGUUUUGUGUGUGUGUGUGUGUUUUUUUCUUUUUUCUUUUUUUUGCAAAAUUCAGUCCUGAACAAAAUUGAAAGUCUAAAUUAGGUAGAAAAUGGAUGGAUAAGAGGAAAUUGAUAGACAAAUAAAACCUAUGUAAUUGAAUCAGCAAUUUCACAGUUUAAAGGAUUGAUUUUAUUGUUAUCUUUUAUCUUUCUAUUGUAAUUGAGAAUUAUUUUUAAAUAAAAGGGUUGUUUUCAAUUAUAGCAAAAUGAAAAAAAAAUAAAAAAAUUUAGGGAUUUUUUUUAAAAAUAAUGUAUUUUGUAAAAAUAUUUUGAAAAAUAGGGUUGUUGGGAAAGAAAUUAUAAGAAUAAGGUUGUUUCCAAAACUAUUUAAAAAAAUAUAUGUUUUUUUUGAAAUUGGAGGAAGUCGUGUACGGGGUACACGACUUUCAAAUGAAAUUGAACGAAGUCGUGUACGGGGUACACGAUUUCCUAAAUGUACAUGUCAGCACACUUCGCUCCAUGUAUGCACGAGUUUUAACAUAAUAAUAAAAUAAAAUAAUAAAAUAAAAUAAUUUUAACAACAAAAUUGUGUACCCGUCCACGAUUUUUAGAAAAACAUAUAUUUAUCACGAAAUAGAAGAGGAAAAGUGAAGAGAGGAAGAGAAUUUGAAAGGAAAAAUGGAUGAACCCUAUGGUUGCUGUUGACUGUUGACUCACUGUUGACUCAUCGUACGGAAGUCGUGUACGGAGUACACGACUUAUCCCAUAUGCGGCAAAAUGUGCCAGCUGUACAGGAGUCGUGUACCCGGUACACGAUUUCAGUCACCUAUUUUUGAAAAUACUUUCCCAACUACCCUAUUUUUGUAAAUACUUUUACAAAAACACAUUAUUUUUUAAAAAAAUCCAAAAUUCAGGUGCUAUGAGCAGGUGGUUAAUAGUUAUUGAUUCUUAAAUGCAAUUAAGAUUAAAAAAGAAUAAUAAUGCAAUAGACUAAAUUAGAAUAAACGAACACCGUUUGAUACCUUAAAAAAGAAAAAGAAAAAAAAGAAAAACAGAGAUGUUUUGAAAUUCUAGAAAUAUAACCUUCUAAAAAACUGUUAGUAAAAUUAUAAUUUUAGCGCUUAGAAUUAAUUGCGCGCGCAAUGGUCCACUUUGCAACCAAACCAUUUCACUCCACUCCACUUCUCGAAGCUUAUUUCCAUUCCUUUUCUCCAUUAAUCUUCAACUUGGAGCACCAAUCCAAGCUCCCAUGGCGAUGCUGUCGUCUUCAUGUGCGGUCGCCGAUUUAGUACUCAAGAACGCACUCAUUUUUACCUGCGACGAUUCUCUUCCUUUCGCCGAUUCCAUGGCCAUUCUCAACACCAGGAUUCUCCGCGUCGGCACCUACUCCGCUGUUCAGGUUCUUCAAACCUCUUCCCUUCCACUUUUAUUUACAUACCACUAGAACCUGCGCGCUAUCUUUUGACAGAGGCAUUCGGAGUUAUGUACUGGAAGUUAUAUAGUUUCUGAUCAUUGUACUCGAGUCUCGUACAGGAGGAUUCUAGAAUUUCAUCCCUCUUUUCACCGUAGCUUACUCUCUGUUUGUGAAAUCGAAGCAUGUUUUUCGGUUCUCUUAUGUAGUAUGUCUUCAUUUAUGUGAAUACAGGACUUGGUUGGACCGAGGACAAAAGAGUUGAAUCUCGGGGGAAAAGUUGUGGUUCCUGGUUUUAUUGAUGCACAUGGCCACUUAAUUUAUCAAGGACUGCAGGUUUUAGUGAAGCUUCCUGUAUUUCAACUGAUUGCGUUACUAACUCACUGAAUUCUGCUUCCCUUGUUGAACCGUUUUCAGUUUUAUUUUCGGUGGAAUCUCCGUAUGCUUUUAUCGAUGUCUCAAAAAUUUGAUUAGUGAUUACUUUUUGUUAUUUAUUGGCGGCUAACCUCGUAUGAAUCAGAUGAAGGAAGUGAACCUUCAUGGUGUAAAUCAUAAACAUGAGUUUGUGACAAGGAUUGCAGAAGCAGCUAAAAGUAAUUUUCUCUCGUUAAAGUAGUUCACGAUUCCAGUGAGAAAUGUUAUCUCGAUUAGUAUUUAGUGUGUUUGUUCUAUGACGCUUUAAAUAGACGUAUGCUUUUAAAUGAGUUUUUGCCAUUUGAUUGGUGCAAGAUAGAAACAAACCAGAGAAUAAUUAUUAUCAUAGGUUUAGUCUGGGUGGGAUUUAUGGAGGCGAGGACAGGUAUAUAAUUUUUCUUGGUUUCCAUUUCAAUAUUUAGAUGAUCAUUUUAAAUUAUAAAUGACUUGGAGGGAUUUUUCUUACUUUUUAUUGAGUCUCCUAGAUCUCAAUUAAAAAACCUCCCAUGCAGUCAUAGUAAAUAUUCCAAGCUUAUUUGUUUGAAAUGUGAUUUCACCGAAAGAUCUUGGAAUUACAUCUUCCGUUCCUCGAUCUUCUCUUAGAAAAAUAUCUUGCAUUCUUCUGGCUUAAAUAGGCAAUUCUUUCAGCUAAAUUAGAUUCUUGGUGGAACUGCAAUAUUUAACGGGGCCUAAAAACCUCAAGCGGGAAGUGACAAGAUUUUGGAAAGUGCUGCGUAUGGUCAGUUCCAGUUUAGUAAUAGCUUGGUUGUGCCUUAUCCUAUUUUGUACUUGUUUUAAGAAACAUUAAGGAACUAAUAAAAAAACCUUAAUUCAAUAGAAAAACAAAGGUACAUGAUAUGGGUAACACAUUCUUUUAUGGAACCUAGGAGAUAGAAAGAACUCCCAAUUGGCCAAGUAUAAUGGAAUAAAAUUAUUUGGAAACUCUUAUUAAUACAAGACACCUCCUAUUAUACAUUCUGAAAGAAAUAGAAUACCGAGAAAACAAUGACAUUUUCUCAUACUAAUGCAAGUCUAGUGAAAGAAAUUAUUAAGAAACUGCUAGGCCACCGAUAUUAUUUAAAUAUAGCUGGAAAAAUAAUAACAACAGAAAUAUCAACCCACGCAAGAAUAUAGGAGAGAUUAUAGGGGGAGAGAAUAUCGGGGAAGAUCUUUCACAAUCGUCAGUGAGUAUAACAGAUUAAAAUGGAGAAAAGAGGAGGAAAGAGGGGAGAAGAAAAAUAUUCCAGAUUAGGAGAAGCUGCUCUCUUUCAGUUCGAGAGAAGCAGAGGAUCGAAGUCAAGUUUAUUUAAUAGUUGUUUGGUCGUUUACAUUGUUCUGAGUUUUCCAUAUUUUAUUUGCUUGUUCUGAUCUGUUCGGAUUAGAUUGAGGCUUAGGAGAUAGGAGUGUGUGAAUUUUUCUUUGAUUAUUUGAUAUUGUAAUUUGUAAAUUCAAGUCAAUAAAAUAAGAUACUAUCAGUAUCUUUACAGAAACUCUUACUAAUUCAAGACCACUCCCAUUAGUAAUUUUGAAAGAAAAAGAAUACUGAGAAAAUAACCACAUUUUCUACUUUUGUUGGCCUGAGUUUCUUUCAUUCUUAAUUCUCUUUUUUCCUCAAGUCUUUCUUAAGUUGCCUAGAUGGCAGUAGCAACCUUGUACUUCUUUCUUUUGAUUUUUUUUCCCUGCUACAAAGUAAAACAAAUAUAUACUAACUAUAAUGGGUUGACCUAGUGGUAAAAAAGGAGACCUAGCCUCAAUAAUUAACUAAGAGGUCAUGGGUUUCAAUAAUUAACUAAGAGUCAUGGGUUAAAUCGUUUCCUACGAGUUACCUUAUGUUGUAGGAUCAGGAUAUGUGCAUAAGAAGAAAAAAAAUAAAUAAAUAAAAUAAAUAAAAUAAAUAUAUAUAUAUAUAUACAUAUAAAAUAUAUAUAAAUAUAAAUAUACUGUGUUUAUAGCUUCUAAAUAAUUUAUUAUAAUAUUUUGGGCGUGUAUGUGAUGAUUCCGAGAGCCAUCUAAUUUUGAGCUUUACAAAAAUAUUCAGACACUAAGAAAGGAACUUGGGUACUGGGUGGCGGAUGGAAUAAUGAUCUUUGGGGAGGUGAAUUGCCAAUGGCUUCUUGGAUUGAUGAUGUUACGCCAUCUAACCCUGUAAGCCAUUUCUUUCUUUAAGGUGACUACUACGAAACGUAUCUUCUGUAAUUUAUUUUUCAUUCAAAACUUGGCGUACAGGUUCUUCUGUCAAGGAUUGAUGGUCAUAUGAGUUUGGCUAAUAAUGUGACACUUAAGUUGGCUGGCAUCUCUAAUUUAACGGAAGAUCCAGAAGGCGGGACCAUAGGAAAAACUACUGGUGGAGGUGCUGUUUUACAGUUUGGUUGAAAUUUAAAAUUUUUGUAGGAAGCAAAAAUAUUUACUAUGAAAACAUUGAAAAGAACUACGGAGAAAUAAGAGGAUUGAUUAUUUUUUAUAUUACAAGAAUUAUUUAAAAAAUAGUUUCUAUUUCAAACACAAAAAGAAAAAAAGAAAGAAAGAAAGAAAAGGCCAGGUGUAAAUGUUGAGAUAAUUCAACGUGGUUCAGACAUCUAACUUUUGAGUAUUACAUAUGGACUCUAGCUCGACAUAUGCUAAUCAUUGCAGUUUAUUAUAUCUGGAUGGGCUUGAAUUUUGAUUGAAGUCUUAUCAUAUUUGAUUUAAAAUGCCAAAUGAACUGCUUAAAUAAGCCAUUUGGUUAGGCAAACUUCAACAUUUAAAAAUUCAUUACAAUCAAGGUCACGCCAAUAUCAAAUAUGAAGUUGGCUGGGUGUGUUUCUUUCUUUCAUACAUUUAUUUGUUAGGGAAUGAAGCAAAACAAACUUAACGUAAAAAAAAUACUUUUUAGCAGGAAAAUUAUACCAUCUUCUGUUUAAAGGGGUCCCCAAAAGAGCCCCUCAUUGUACUAUGAAAUUUCAUUUCCCAUUCUUUGUUCUUUUGUGAAGAAAACCAGUCAACUUCAUUUCUCUUUUUCUGCUUUCUUUUUCUUUUUGUACGUUUCAGUUGUCAAUUGAUCUUAAUGAGGUCAAAUGAAGUUAUCUAUAAUUUAGUUUUUGUGCCCCAGAUCCUACUGGAUUGCUGAUUGAUUCUGCAAGGAAGUUGGUCCUACCUUUUAUUCCAAAGGUUGCGGUAGAGGAGAGAAGAGAAGCAUUGGUAAGGGCCAGUAGUCUUGCCCUGGCUAGAGGUGUUACAACAAUAGUUGAUUUUGGAAGAUAUUAUCCAGGAGAAUCAGUGGAAUUAUCAUGGGAAGAUUUUUCUGGUAAUUUUUCUAUUGUUUUAAUUACUAGUUCAGGCCUCUCUCUCUCUCUAACUUAUCUUGGUUUGCUUCCUCGAUGUCUGCUUAUACGGAAGGACUCACAAUAGGCAGAUAUGAUUACUUAUUAUUUUCCUACCUUCUCGUAGUAAAUCAAUUUUUUUUAUCGGUGUGCAAUAAUUUUAAAUGGGCAGAUGUGUAUCAGUGGGCAGAUUCUUCAGGGAAGAUGAUGAUCAGGGUUUGCUUAUUUUUUCCAAUGGAAACAUGGUCAUCGCUACAUGUAUGACACCCAAUGGAAUGUUAUUUAAAUGAUGUUCGUCAUAUUUCCCAAGUUUGUGUUGCUAACUUCUUUAAUUCGUAUCUGGAACAUAUAUAUGCCAUUUUAGAAUAUGCUACUUAAUUUUACAGUAAGAAACAUAAACAUGCAAACCAACAUUGAUAUGGGCUGUCUUUAUUGAAUUGAACUUUUGGCAAAUGACUUUAUAUGUCAACUCAUCCCAUGUUUUUUUUAAACGGAGACAAGCUUCUUUAUUAAUAAUAAACUCAAAGUACAAAAGAGUUAUACAGUGGAAAUAAUUGAGAAACCUAGAAAUGGGAAAGAGGGAGGAUUAGUCAACUAGGUUGACACCCCCUUAGCACCCUCGUCAUAUCAAAAUAAGAAUAAUUCUAAGGUCAUGCAAAGACCAAAAAUAACAAUAUAAACUACCUAUAGGUAGACAGAUGCAAAGGACAAUAAAAACCGGAAAGCAUAAAACUAAGGAUCAAGUGGUGCACCCAAGACAUUUCAAUUAGAUUGACUCUCCAUAUUGUAAAAUGAUGGUUGCUUGUUUAAUUAUUUAAAGGCGCAGGUUUAUGUAUAUUUACUAUUUCUUUUUGACAAGUGUUGGAGGCUUAUUUGCCCCUCAUUUAGAGCUCAAAUAAUUUGUAAAUAUUUUCAUUGAUCAAUUUUUAGGGUAUUUCAUUAAUGUUUUUAUGUCUUUGUGGGUCUCUGCUUCAAUUGACAUGCUACUUAUGACUUUGCAACAGCCUUACCUGUGUACAGGCUUCUUUGAUCGCUUUACUUGCUUCAGUAUCUUCCCUUGUUUAUUCUUGCUUCUAAUAUUCUUUUUAUCCUCUCCAGGAUCUUAUCCACAAAAUGGGUCAGGUUGUGAGCCCAUGGAUGUACUUGGGUGGUGUCAAGGGUUUUGCUGAUGGGUCUUUAGGUUCACAUACUGCUUUGUUUCAUGAGGUGAGAGCAUCUGAUGUAGCUAUUGUGAGAGGGUUCUGUUAUAAUUUGUUUUAGUUGGUUGUUAGUUUAGUUUUGUUUGAUUAGUUGCCUUAAAUCCUCUAUAAUUGGAGAUUCAUCAUUUAUGUUUUGGAAUGUUUAAAAUUAUAAUAAAUAUUCCUUAUGAUUCUUAGACAUUUUCCUUCGAUGUUUGGUUGCAUAAAAUUGAUAUGAAACAAACUUUGUAAGAGGCUGAGGGCCCAAAUAAUGAAAGGUUUUUGGUUCAAGAUUACCGAAAUGAAAAGUUUUUGGCUCGACAUUCCAUAUUUUCCAGCUAAGAAGAGGAGGUUUUUCAUGGGUUUCUGGAAUGAUUCGAUGAUGGUUAUGAUCAGACAAUUUCAAGAAUGUAGAUGAACAACCUUACUUUAACAUGAUUUUCUCUACUCAAGAAUGUAGAGGAUGAAUCUUUUUAUGGAUUUGAUGAAUAUUUCGACGAGGAAGAUGAGCUUUUGUAUUGCUUGGAAAACUAUUUGUUGAAAAUGGAAUAUCAAAAAAAGGAGCUUCGAUAUUAUUGCAGAAGGAAAACCUUAUUUUACUGUUAGAGUGACAAGAUAAUGAAGAGGGACAUGAAUGGAAUAAAUCUUGGCAGCAAAUAGCAAACUUUGAGGAUGUAGAUGGAGAUGUUCAGUUUGGAUAUAUGUUUUUUCUUCAAGAACCUAGAAGCCAUAAGGAACUAUUUUACAAAUAUGUAACUAUCUGACAGUUUGAUGAGAUGUUGCGUUAGAUUUUUUAUGGGCUUAAAACAACCUUUUCUAUUGGUUUUUUUUUUUUUUGUAUCCUUGGAAGAAGUAGCUUUGAAGCAAGAUUUCUGACUGUGAAAUUGGGAAAACUCAGGUGAGUUUUUCUAUUUAAAAAGGAAGGGAAGUAUUAACGAUGUACCAUAUAAUGGUAGAGUUAUUUCUAUAAUUUUGUUUAAGUUGGUUUAGUUAUAUUUGAUAGUUACUUUUUUAUAAAUAGGAAAUUCAUCAUUUGUGCUGAGGGACUUUUAAAAUCAUAAUAAACAUUCCUUUGAGGAUUCUCUGAGAUUCUUACUUUUGUUGUUUGGUUGGAUCAGCACCACCUGGCAGGCAUUUGAGUUUGAUAUCUUCAAAGUUGAAACAUUCAUUGGAAGUCUGUGGCCAUUAGUUGAGAUCAUAUGGUUAAUGAUCAUUUGCAGUUUCUUUUUGGGGCCUACCUUGGUUCUUACGAAUUUAUGAUAAUAAUUAUCAUAUUGAGCUUUUCAAAAGUUGGAGUAUCUUCACCAUGUUCUGUAUUUCUAGUAAUACUCUUUUUGUACAUUGUUUCAUAACUAUCUAUGUUACCAUGUAGCCUUAUGUUGAUGAGCCUGGCAACUGUGGCAUGCAAAUAACAGAACGUGAGAAGCUUUUCAACUUGACCAUGGAAUCAGAUAUAUCAAAGCUUCAGGUUAUUUGCUAUUCAUCUAAAUAAGCAUGAUUGCAACAUGAUUGAUUCAAUAGAUUUACCUUAAAUUUGGUUCAGGUUGCUAUUCAUGCCAUAGGCGACAAAGCAAAUGAUAUGGUCCUUGAUAUCUACGAAUCUGUCAUUUCUACAAACGGGCCAAGGGAUCGAAGAUUUAGGGUAAUGGCUUUGAGAAAUAGGGAAGCUAAUUAACGUCUUGAUAAAUAUAACUCAUUGUUAUUUUGGUUUCUCAUGAAUAGGUCGAGCAUGCUCAACAUUUGGCACCUGAAGCUCCUCAACGAUUUGGUAAACUAGGGAUUAUUGCUUCAGCUCAGGUCUCUUAUUGUUUUCAUAUUGGAUCACUGUUGACAUGUUUCCCCCAUUUCCAAAUUCUCAGAUCAAUGAUUGAUACCUGGGCCAUGAGGCAAGAAUGAUAUAAAACGAAAGAAAAAAACCUGUAGAAACUAUUCACAUUGAAAAUCUUCUGCUGUGGCUAAAAGUCAUUUUACUUUUUCAUUCUGGGUGUGUGCUCUCAUGGCAUGGUUCUAUUUUUCCAAUAUUGCAUGAUUGUAUGCUAUGUCCUGAUAGGUUAUGUAUUUAGUUUCAGCAUAUAUAUUAACCACUUGUAAAAUAUUUUUUUAACAAAAUUCUCAUGUCUAAUGAAAGUCAUGCACCACAUUAAAUUAUUUACAUGAUGAACAGAGUUUGGAAAAAUUUUAAUACAUAAAAAGAUAGAGGUCUUUUUGUUGUCUUGGACUAGAGAAAGGAAAGGAUCUAGAGAAGGGGAAAGGAUGCAACCACGUCGUAAUUGACCUAAGUAGAAAUUAUGAGAUGUAAACGAAGCUCUAAUGCUUGUGUUGUGUGAAAAUAAUUAUCUACACCAAUUAAGGCUGGUUCGAAAUGCCUACAAAAGUAUUUUAAGUGCUACAAAAUGUUUUUAAGCAUUUAAAAUGUCAUUUCAAAAGACUUAAUCUUUCACGAUAAAUUUGUAUUGUUAAAUCCCUUUUUCCAUUUUCUUUCUUUAAGUUUCCCUUCUUUGGCUAGUUACAAGUUGUCCAAAACAUUUUAAUUUCACCAAGUGUUCCAUUUAAUUUGAUUUACAGUUUGGUUUUAACAUUACUAUUUAGCAUGUUGGUAGCUCAGUAUCCCUUUUGAUGGUUUCAUCCAAGUUAUUGAUGAUCUAAUCUGUUUCUUGGCAGCCCGAACACCUUUUGGAUGAUGCAGAGUCUGCGACAAACAAACUUGGGGCACAGAGAGCUGAAAAAGAAUCUUUUUUAUUUAGAUCACUUUUAACUUGCAAAGCAUGCUUAGCUUUUGGUUCCGACUGCCCGGUAAGCUUCUGACGUUUUUAUUACCUAAAUACUGCACAGGCCUAAUCUCGUGUAUUGCUGUUUUUCAAAACUAUACUUUAGAGAGGGGGAAAAACUUCUAAAUUACAUACAUGUACAAAGUUGAACAUUUAAGAUUGGUUUUUGUGUGUAGGUUGCAAAUAUCAAUCCAUUGGGUGGUAUCAGGACUGCAAUGAGAAGAAUACCUCCGUCCUGGGAUCACGCUUGGAUGCCAUCAGAGUGCCUCACACUGGAUGAAGCCAUAAAGGCGUAAGCAAUACUCUGAAAUCACUUUCUCAGAUGUACUUGUUUAGUUUGCUUUUGUCUGUUUCUAAUUCUUAGUGUCUGUUCGGUACUUAUAGGAGCAACGCAGUGUUCCUAAGUAUUAGCCUUAGUAAAUAUGGGGCCAGACCUAGCGUAGUGAUGAAAAAAUUACUACCUCAAAUGGUGUGGUAAAUCUCUGUUUGAAAUGGAGAGGGGUUAGUAAAAUUUUUAAAAUUUUAUUUCGGUGAUAUGGACAGUGAUUGGGGGAUGCAUUUCCUCACCCCAAACGUGAUCCUGCCCACGUUUAUUCGAUCAUAUUUGUUCAUUUGUUAAUUGAUUUAUUAAUUUCUUCAGAGAAAGUGUUAGUUAUUUAUAUAUAUUAAUUACUUCAGAGAAAUUGUUAUGAAUAAAAAAAAUUGAAACUAUUUUCGCAUAUGGCAAAAAAAGAAAAAAUUAAAAUAAGCUAUAGAGAAUUUGAUGGAUUUUGCUAUAAUUGUCAAUAGUUUUUUUUUUUUUUUUCUAUAUUUGAAAAUUCCCCAAGUUAUAAUCCUAGGAUAAAUUUGGUUAGUGCUUUUGUUUUGUAUUUGCCACUAAGAAAGAAACUCCCGGGUGUUCCAUGAGAAGGAAAGAGAUUGAAGUAAUGAUUAUGACGAACCUUAGUCCAUUGCUCUUGUGUCUUCGCAACCGUCGUCCCUUUGUAAUUAACUCUACUUCGGGUGCUGUUUUUUUCUUUAGUGAACUCAGGAGGUCUAGACUUUAUAUUUUACGUUUUUUUCCUCCAAAUUAAUGAAAUCAAGGUAUUUGCUUUUAAAAAUUUAAGUAAAUAAACUCAGGCAAAAUUGAAAAAUAAGUUAUUUCUGGCCCUUGGAUAUAUAUUUUCUAUAUAUGUUUUUUUAAAAAAAUUCUUUAAUUUUUUUAAAAUUUAAAGAGGCAGUUUCAAAUAUGGCAGAAAAAGAAAAAGCAAAAUAUAUCCAAUUCUCUGUACCCAUUUAAGUGUCUUUUACCAUAUGUGAAAAUAGUUUCAUUUUGAAUUGUGAUUUUUUUUCUGCAUGAAAAUACAUGUUGGGAGAUAUCUCAGACUUGUUGAUUCUUCGAAAAUAUGGGGUGAGGAUAGAAGUUAAAAACCCCCUUGGGGUCAAGGUCCAAAUCCCAACCUGUCUGUUGUCAUCCCGAUUCGUAAUAUGCACUUGAGUUGCUGCCACUAGUUAACGAUUCAAGGGAGGCAUAGACUUAUUUCUUCUCUUGAUAUACCUGAAAAAUCAGAACUAAUUGUUAAUUGUUAAGCUGGAUACCUUUUGAUUUUUUUUUUUUUUUUCUGUUACUAGAACUGGAAAAUCUUUUGCAUUAGUAAGUAAUGUGCAGGGUUUCAUGUAAGCAUCUCUUUCCUCAAUUCAACUUUCAUUCAAGAACAUUUCACAUCAACCUUGCAGGUAUACAAUAUCCGCUGCUUAUGCAUCCUUUCUUGACAAAGAUCUCGGAUCUCUGUCCCCAGGAAAGCUUGCAGAUUUUGUUAUACUAUCUACAGAUUCAUGGGAUGAGUUCGCAGCUGAAGGAUCAGCUUCUAUCGAGGCAACGUAUACUGGUGGUAUACAGGCCUAUCCUUAAAGGUGCGUGCUUAUAUGCUAAAGAAUGUAUCAGAUCCAAAAGUGAAAACUCACUCCCCUACUCUAACCCUCUGGUUUUUAUCUUGGUAAUAGUUUCUUCUAUCUAUUUGCUGAAUUCAAAAGGCGACAUGCCUCGCCAGGCUAAGGAUCUCAUGUGGCACAGCUGUUGAACCAAUCUCAAAAUCCAAGAGGUACCUCUAACUCUAGUUCUAAGAUAAAUUUGAGCGUAGGGUUACCAUAUCUUAAAUUUUCUUUGACAUAAACACUGUUUGCUGGUCAAUAAUGCAUGUGAAUAUUAACAUGGAAAGCAUGUGGCUAUGGUCGUAAUAGUUCAAGGUUCAAUGCAUGCUAUGAAAUUCACAAUCAGUGCUAUAUUUUAGUUUCCAGCAGUAGCUUGGUUUUCAACUUUUCCAGUUUAGACACUGCCUUCAAUGAUGUUUAAUCAAUGUCAUUUUCAUUGCACUUUUUUUUUUUUUUUUUUUGCUUUGCUAAUUUCUCUAGUAAUUACCCAUUAGCAUACUUUUUGGGCUCAUCAAAUCAGCCCUAGUUAUUAACUGGAAUUUUGCCGAGGACUUUUGUAUUUGUUUGUCUGGAAAUUUCUAUUUAGCUACAGUAUCAGGCUUUUUUUAAAAAAUAAAAAUAUUAAAAAAUAUUGCCCUUUAGCUUUAAUGGUUUAGGUAUCAGAUUUAGGGAGUAGAUAAGAUUAUUUCUUACCUUGGCAUCCAUAUUAAUGUGGCCAAAAACUAAGAGAAAAAGGAAGGUUUUGUUUCAAUAGGAUUUCUUCUAAAUUCCUUAAAUGGAAAUAGUGAACAUCUACCUUGUUGGUAAAAAUUGAAUUAAUUUUUUUUUUUUUUAAAAAAAAAGCUAUUGAUGAUAAACCUAUGAUCGGAUUAGGGUUUUACCUCUUAGAUUUAAAAUCUUAAUUUUAGCCCUUCCUCUCCCAUUAAAGUAUAGAAUCAGUCAUAUCAUUCAAACUUUAUUCCAAAUUAUUAAAAGAAAAACGGGAUGAAUAAUAUUUAUCUACAUGACAUUCUAAAAGAGAGGUUCGUUUUCCAUUUAAACGGAUCACAUAUAAGGUAGGGGACUAGUUGUGAAUUGUGAGGUGUAAUUGUGAGUCAAAUUUUGUAUCUAUAAUGGUUUGGUAAUCGUAAAUAUUCAUAUGACAAAGUUGAAGUUUCAGAAAGAUUAGAUUCCAAAGUUAAAAAGUAGGCAAUAGUGUUGAAACUAAAAUGCAAAUAAUGUUUUUCUCUUUCUUUACUUAUUUUUCAUAUACUCCUAAAGUUUCAAAUUUUUUUUAAAAAUUAAUAGCUAUUAAUCCUGCUUAAAAUACCAUUUUGAUUAAUAAAUUUUAGAUUUCAUUUCAUUUAUUUUAGUUUCUAUAUUUCAAAAUGUUCGGAAAAAAAAAAGAGUUAAAUAGUAAUCGUUUUUUAAUGUAAAAAAAUACAUAUAUGAAUAUGAUUUUAAAAUUUACCGUGAGUGCUAAUAGAUUUUUUUCGGGAAAAGAAUCAACAAAAACAAUUAACUUGUAGGAAAUAAAUUUAAGAUAUGUAAUGAUUAUAUGAUUAAAUUUGAGUAAAUGAAAAUAUAUGAACUAAAAUAAAACAAGUUUGCAAGUACAGUAACUAUAAUUAGUAUUUAAUUAAUUUCAAUAAAAGAAAUUUUAAGAUUUAUGGAAAGUGUUCAAGCAAAAUUUUGAACAAAUGAAUUGGAUUGAAAUUUAAAAUAGAUGGUCUAAAAUGAUUUUUUUAACAACGAGUGAUAAAUACAAAAGUAAAUACUUACUAUUAUUAAUAAAAUUAUUUAAUGUUACAUUUGUGGCAUAGAAAUGUUGUUUAUUGUUUUUGUAAAAUAUCUUGAUGGUUUUCUAAUAUAGUUUCGAAGUAGCAAGUAGUGUGUUUUGACUUGACCUGUUCUUUUUUCCAAAUUAUUCUUUGAAAUUAUAUGGUGCCCAUCAAAUCGGGUAAACAGAGUAUCUGAAAUGAACUUUAUUGUCGUUUCUGAAACACAAAUUUCAUUGUUCAAUUAAAAAUCAAAACUAUAAGUUGGCUCUGUCUGUUUGAAAGAAAAGAAAUGAAAAAAAGAAAAAAAAAAAAUCUAGAUAUGAACUUUAUCUUUUUAGUGAGUGUCAAUCAGUUAGAUUUUUUUUUUUUAUGUGUCGAGAUAAAGAAGAAAAAAACGACUCUUGAUUAAUUUCCAAUGUGACAUGUUUGACACAAAAUAUGUGAUUGUUUAUCAAACUUUUGCUUGGUUGUUUUCCAUUGAGCUUUUAGAAUAAGCUUCCAACUUUAGGUUGGAGAGAUUUUUUGGAUCAUUUAAAAGCCGAUCAGAUUGGCUAUAAAAAAACCUUGAAUAGGUCUCCAACCCAAUUCAAUUCUCAAAUUUUGGGUUGGGGUGAAGUGGGUUUAGAGGAUUGUUUUGUUUGUCUUAUUAAAUUUAAAUAAUUUAAUUUAUCUACAAUACUUCAUAAGUAAAAUCUCAUAAAACUUGAAUGUUAAAUAUAAACUAUUCAUGAUAUAUAUUAUAAACUUAAACUUUAAACAAAGAUAAGCAUCAUAACCAUUGUAAAAGAAAAAUGUUAAAAAAGUUAAAACACUAAAAAAUAUAGCUCAACUCAAUUAAGUAACAGAAAAAAUUAACUCAAUCCAACCCAAAAACAAAAUUAAACCAACUUGACCUUUACAAUUUUGAUUGGAUAGUCCAUAUUAUAUGAAUUAUUGGGUCAUUUGAAUACUUUUUUUUCCAAAAAUAACAUUGAAGCGUUCUUAAAAACUACACAAAAUCACAAGUUGACACUCUUGUAUAAACACAGUCCUUUGAAACAAUUCUAUAAAGUUUUCACAAAAAGAAACUUGAAGUCGAAGGGCACCUUACAAUUUUCGUAAGCUUUUAAUUUCUUAAAACUAAAGCAUUAAGGUUAUGUUGAAUUUUUUUUUCCUCUUUUAAUUGGGUUUGUUUUCUCGCCAUUUUUUUUUAAAGAAACAUUUAAAUUAUAAAUUACUUUUUUUAAAAAAAACAGACAGGUUUUUAAUUAAAUUUUAUAUUUAUAUAUGAAAAAUAAAUUUAUAAAUACACCCUUUUCACCAAUAUAUUCAUUUGUUCUUUUCAACAAACUUUUUGGUUAGAUAAAUAUUAAAGUCUAAACAGAGGAGUCUUUUUAAGACGUAUUUCUUAUUUGAAGCUUAGCUAAGGAUUCAAUUUUAAUAGAGAUGAAUGUAUUAAAAAAGCAAGUUUGCUUUUUUAGAAGUCUAGAAAAUGAAAAUUAUAUGUUAUCAAAGAAGGCCAAAUCAUUGUCAACUUAGUUGAUGAGUACAAUUUUUAGAGGGGAAGAAAAGGUAAAGGGUGGUAUGUAGUAGUGGUAGGAUUAGUUUAGAUGAAAACAGAAAAAAGAAACAAAAGAAUAGUGUUGGGAUUAUUAGGAAGAGCGAAGACCUAAAGAGUUGGAGAAGUAGAAUAGGUGGUGGUUAGGUUAGUGUUGGUAUGGUACAUUAUUUCAGUCUUAGCCCAUUGGCAUUUUGCUGUUGAAAUUUGAAAAAAUAUAUAUAUGGUUGGUUUUGAUUUGGACUAUUAUUAUUCCUCAACCCUAAACCCACUUCUUUUUUACCUUUGAAUUUACUUCUAUAUGCCUAUUCCCUUAGCUUUAUACUAACUUUUACCCUACUCUCCUCUCUUUUUCUAUCACUAUCUCUACCUAGUUUCAUUACCUAUUUUCUUUUCUUCCAAUCUAUACCUAUCUUGAUAUAUAUAUAUAUAUAGUCUAUAAUCAAAUCAAAGUUUUCAUUUUUGUCUUUCUUUUUUACUUCCGUUUUCUCUUCAUUUUCAACAUUCUUGAUUGAAACCUUGACCAAUGGUUUGGAGAGAGAAUAGGUGGAUGAAAAUGAUGUAGUCGGAUAUAAAAUCUUUUUUGUUGCAUACUUAUCUUUGUUAUCCUAUUUCAUGGCCUUGUUUAUAAAAAUGCGUUCUGUUAGCGUUAACACAUCAUAUGUGAAACAUGUAGGGUUGGAUUGUUAGUUUAGUUUUUGUAACUUCCAUAUUUGUGUUUAGUUGAUAUUUGAACUUUAUAACAAAAAAAAAAAAAAUUCUUAAAUCCAUAUCUAAACGUUCCUAAUCUUUACAAAUUUUCUUUUUAAUUCAUAAAUCUACUAGACACAAACUUAAAAAAACAGUCUCAAUAAAUGGAAUAAUCCAUGGUAGCUCGAACUAUCAUACGUGUUGUUUUGUAAAAUCAAUCAAGGCACAUGUAAGUUAGUCCGAGCAAUAUCAAUAAAAAAAGAAAAAAAAGAAGAAAAACAAGACACGAAAUUAAAAGGUUGAAUCCGUGAGUUGCAAAUAGUACUUUUAGAAGUAAAAAGUAGUAAAAUUGCUAAUAUAGGAUCUUAAGAAUGGAUAGUAUAUUCAUCUUUCUCGAUUAGAAAGGCAUUCAAAAGUUUGGGGAAAUGGCACUUAAACCACUUCCUCCUCAAGAUAUACACACAUAUUAUAAGAAUUUAAUGAUUGGAUUAGAUUUUUCAACCACCGAACUAAAUUAAUAAUUUGAACUUUCAGAAGAAAAAAAAAACUAAAUAAUAGCUUCAAAACUAAUUCAAAUUGGGAUUACUUUCCCAUCAAUUAAUCAUUAUUAAUAGAAUUAUAUUUUAUAUUAAACCAAUUCCCCUUGAACCCAUUUGAAAAUUUAUGUAUAUUGAUUUCAUGGUUGCUGCUAAAAUUCUUGGUCGCAAUCAAUGUUCUGCACCCCUCAUCACCGGGGAUACGGUGGGUUCCUCUUUUUAUUUAUUUAAAAAUACUAAUAUUUUUUAAAAUAAUAAAAUAAAUUAAAAUAUUUACUCUUUUAUCAACCUCACUCUAGAAGUAUAUCAUUAGCUAUCAAAUGUAUCCAAUAUUUAUUAUUUAGAAUAUGAAUGUUUGCUAUAACUUAUAAAUAUUUUGUCAAAUUUGUUAUUUUUGACAAUUUUUUUUUAAAAAAAUAUUAUUUUAUUGUGAGUUAAAAGUAGAUAAAUUUGAAAACAUAGGGAUACAAUUUGUAUGCAUUAAAUUAGUUGUAUUUGGUUUUGUGAACUUAUAAAAUGAAAUUAGUGUAAUUUCAAAAUUGUGAUAUAGGCUAGAGGUGGAGCCUUCUUAAUUUGAAACUAAUAAAUGUUGGGUGGAGAGGGAGGAGGGAGGAGGGAGGAGGGAGGAGGUAGGAGGUAGGAUGGGGUUAACCCUUUGUUAUCAAAUCACUCUAAACUCUAAAUUCUAAACAUGAAUUUGGUUGAUUUUUUCUUUUUCCAUUUUCAAAAGAGGUUUAAAAAAAGUGUUCAAAGUUUCUAUUAUAUUUCCAUUCAUAUCUUUUAUAUUUGAAAUCGACGUUGUCAUUAUUUUUAUAAUCGAAUAAUCACAAAUUAUUGAAACAUUAAUACUAAUAAUCUAAAAAUAUCUUCUAUGCUAGGGAGAGAAAAAUACUUUGUUGUUUUCACAUCUUAAUCGUACAAUAUAAUUUUGUCACUCCUAUUAGUCUAUACUAUUUGAGAUGUCAUCAUUUUUCUAUUUGUUUACCUAAAGAUGUCUAUUCAAUCUAAACUUUAAUUAUAGUAACAAUAACUUCAGGUUCUUUAUUUAAGUUCUUAAUUAAUGAUUAGUUUUAUUGCUUAGAACAAUUUUAGCAAUGAAUUUGCAUCUUCAUAAAUUUUUUUAUGUUUAUUUAAUUUUGGUUCAAAUAGGGUUUUCAUACUUAAACUUGAUCUUAUAUUUUCAUAUUUUGUCUUGAAUGUUUAAAUUUGUUUUGUUUCUUAGUCCCUUUUAAAUGUUUUUUUUCCCGUAAGUUUUAGACACAUUGCUUGUUUUUAAAAAUCUUUUACCCAAAUAUAAAAACAAAAAAUGUGGCAUCGUUUGAUUGUUUCCCUGCAUGACAUUUAUGGUUUUAGGGCAUCAAUUUUUUUCAGUAGAAUUUCUUUAAUUAAAGUUCUCACCCAUCAUAUUUCUUUCUAAAAAAAAUUACAUUUUUAAAUAUAACAAAAUGAAUCAAAAUAUUUAUAAAAUAUAAUGAAUUUUUAUAUCUAUAUUUGACAGACUAUACAUACGUUGUUGAUAAUGAUGGAUAGAAAUUUAUUAAUUUAUUAAUAUGGUUAUGUCGAAUCAGUUGAUGAUAUAUGGAUUAAUGUGUAAUGUGGUUAAUUCCCUAAGUAGAAAUUUAUAAAUAGAAAAGAAAAAAUCAAUAAGGCUUUCUUUCAAGUUAAUUACUCGUUUGAAACGUUUUCGGUUUAUUAGUAAAGAAUCCAUUAUGAGUUGGAAUCACUUUCGGUAAAAUAAUAAGAAAUUGCAGAAGCUUAUUAUAUAUGCUUCUCUCUGAAAAUUCUUUUGGGAUUGUGUAUGGAAUCUCUACUUUUUGGUUUAAAAUAAAUAAACAAACCACAUAGCCUUAAUAAGAUGAAAACUCAUAAUUGAAAAUUCACUUUACAAUAUUUGAGGUAUAAAUAAAUAAAUAAUUGGGUAAAAACGGUGCUUAAAAUUAUAAUUUUAGUAAAGGUAUAAAUUAAAAAAAAAAAAAAAAAAAAAAGAAGAAAAAUCAUGAAAAUGAAAGCGGUUAAUUGUUAUUGAAGAAGAAGAAUCCAAGUAGUUUGAUAUUAUAUAUUGUAGCAAUGAGAAUUAAGAAAAAAAAAAAAAAAGAUGUUAUGGAGUAAUUAUUAUGUAAUAAAAAUGUGCCCAUUCCUCCACAAGUGACCCAUAAGAAAAGAAAAAAAAAAGAAAAAGGGAUGCUCUUAGAGUUAGAGGGUGGUAUGUAAAAAAGGUAAAGAGAAGUAAGUUAAAUUAUAAUAUAUAUGUAUAUAGGGAUAAUAGGGGGGCUAUGGUUGUAGAGUUGUAGGGUUCCAUUAUAGAGGUUUAGGUGUGGUCCAAAGUCUAUAUUGAGAGUUGAUAGGGUGACACACUGUUUGGGUAACAUUUGGAUGAAUGUAGGUUUGCUCAUAACCACACUUUCCAUUCACUCUCUCCUUUUCUUCUUCUUCUUCUUCUUCCUCCUCCUCCUUAAUUACUUUUUCUUUAUAACAAUUAACUCAUGUGUUUUCAGCCAUGCCAUCUGUCUUUUCUUUUUUUCCUUUUUUUCCUUUUUUUUUAUUUCUAACCUCUCCCCACUUCUCUAAUUAUUUCACCAUUCAUUUUUUUUAAUACACUAAAUCAAAUCAUUAUCAUAUUUUAUCUAAAACAUGUCUACGUUCCUUUAUUUUAUUUUAUCACGUUUAUUUUAUUUUAUCACGUUUCAAACAACGAGUAUAAGACAUUAACAGAUCUAAUUUAUGAAAAUGGUGUAUUUUGGAUAUUUAAUUAUUUACGAUUGAAAAUAAGUACGUGAUAUAAACUCUUUUUAACUCUAGAAGUGCUACUAUUAUAUUUUUGUAAUAUUCUUUCUUGAUGUAACGAACGUCGCUAACCUAUUAUUGUUGAUGAUUUAUGUAAAUCCAUGUGUCGAUUAUCUUCUAUUUUACAUUUUUUUUUUUUUUUUUGUAUUUCUUGUUUGUUAAUUUCAUUACAAAAACAGUUAGUAUAUAUCAAUUAAACUUUGUAUUUAUAAGAUAAGAAAGAAUAUAAUGGUUUUUGAAACUUUGAAUGUACAAUAUAUGUAUAGAUAUUAGAUGGUUUAUUAGUAUAGAAUUAUUAUACUUUUUAUAUUGAAAUUAAUAGUAAACAUGAUGUUAACAUGGUACUAAAUACAUUACAG
This 49992-nucleotide long non-coding RNA is filed under the name Cucumis sativus (cucumber). RNAcentral's name for it is "long non-coding RNA (CSAT_LNC002122)". The record is from RNAcentral. Lineage: Eukaryota; Viridiplantae; Streptophyta; Magnoliopsida; Cucurbitales; Cucurbitaceae.